This 44846-nucleotide long non-coding RNA is filed under the name Panicum hallii. Its description in RNAcentral is "long non-coding RNA (PHAL_LNC000735)". Lineage: Eukaryota; Viridiplantae; Streptophyta; Magnoliopsida; Poales; Poaceae. The record is from RNAcentral.
UUUUGUUUUGACCUUUGUGUGGGAAAGUGAGUUGAACUGUGAACUGACGAGCUUCAUACAAGAUGCCGCUAAAUUAAUCCACUUAUUGUCAUUGUCGUACCAAUAUAACAUUAGCCUGUGUUCUGUUGAUUUUCAGCGACUACCUCUUCAAGCUUCUGCUUAUUGGUGAUUCUGGUGUUGGCAAGUCAUGCCUCCUCCUGAGAUUUGCGGUAUGGGUUGUAUGUCCUUUGUGUCGUUGUGAAGUUAUUUCGGCAUGCUGUGGCAUAAAAUUUAUCAAUUUUCUUGUUCAUCACACCGUUGGUGCAUGAUACAUGUAAAUGUGAUUUGGUGAAAGACUGAAAGUGCAAUAUGCCACUUCAGUGCAUAGUGCAGACUGCUAGCAAACAUUUACUGGUGGCUUAACUCAAAACUGUUUUCUGAAACAUUGAGUCUAACAAUGAAGGCAUAUCAUGGCAUCAUGCUUGCAUGUAUAUGCACUGCUUUCCUUCAUAAGUGUGUCUAUGAUUUAUCUGACAUGUGGCCUCAUUUAUCAUAGGAUGACUCGUACCUGGACAGUUAUAUCAGUACAAUUGGAGUCGACUUUGUGAGUUUGCUUUUCUUUCAUUUAUUCUGAAUGUAGGUUCAUGCAAUGCAAAGUAGUAAUUUCAUGAUUUCUUUACAGAAAAUUCGUACAGUUGAGCAGGACGGGAAGACCAUCAAGCUUCAGAUUGUAAGUCUUAACAUGUUAGCUUCUAUAAACUAUUUUACUGUGCCAAGUCACCGAGAACUAGCAAACAUAAAUCCUUUUUCUUAAUCUAAAAACUGUGGUCACUUAAAUCUGUAAACCUGUAUUACCAGUUCCUUCCGUUCCUGACUAUGAACUAAUUAUCUUCUUAGAGUCACGACUUUUCCAGCCUUUUUUUUAAAUAACUUCUAUUCAAUCAUUACAGUGGGAUACUGCUGGGCAAGAACGUUUCAGGACAAUUACCAGCAGCUACUACCGAGGAGCCCAUGGCAUUAUCGUACGUUGCUCACAUAGCUAAUAAUUAUUCUUCAGUGUCCCAUGAUAAGUAUAUAACUUUGCAUUUUAUUCAUGGAUGUGCAGAUUGUAUAUGAUGUCACAGACCAAGAAAGCUUCAACAAUGUAAAGCAAUGGCUGAAUGAAAUUGAUCGUUAUGCAAGCGACAAUGUAAACAAGCUCCUUGUUGGGAACAAGUGUGACUUGACGGCAAACAAAGUUGUGUCAUAUGAAGCAGGCAAGGUGAGUUAUGGAAUAAACUGUCCGUCAUAAUUGCGGGAAUGUAUCUUGUGAAUCAAGAGAGUGGUAACAGAAAUGGAAUUUGUGAUGAGGUUUGGUUAGGCUAACUAGUGUGAACAAAUGUCAAAUCUGAAUUGCGACUUAACCCUUGCUGAUUCUUUGCUAUUAAGCACAUAGGUUUGAUUUAUUGUUUGCUCAUAUUAUCUUCGCACAUCAUGUCUGUUAGGCUCUUGCUGAUGAGAUGGGCAUCCCAUUCAUGGAGACCAGUGCCAAGAGUGCUACUAAUGUGGAGCAGGCUUUCAUGGCUAUGGCUGCAUCCAUUAAGACCAGGUACUUCAUCACAACUCAAAACUUAUCGAAUAAUGAUGACCUGUUAUGAUCAUAACCAUGGUCUUUAUUGUUUCAGGAUGGCUAGCCAACCUGCUGCAGCUAAUGCCAGGCCACCAACCGUGCAGAUUCGUGGCCAGCCCGUUAACCAGAAGACGUCCUGCUGCUCUUCCUAGAUUAUUCAUUUCUUUCAGUUCAUGUAAACUUUGAUGCACUGUUACUACUGUUUGCUUGUGAUGCGUUUGUAAUAUUCCCUGUUAAUUGUCUAAAUAGCAUUUUUCAUAUAAUUCAAGUGAUCAAUUAUCUUGACUGAGCACUUCAGUGUCCGUUCUUGUUUCCACAUCUAAAUUGCUGUUGCUGUGGCCCACAUGGCAAACUAACAAAUCGAUUCUGCCAGCAAAAUCUAACCUGCUAACUUCUCUCCAAUCUUUUGUUCUGCCGUCUUUGUUGGUCGAUUGUGUGUGUCGGGCAAGGCUUACAUUCCUUUACAAGUCUGUUGAACAAAUGACUUAAAACGGCUGAGCUUUGUAUUCUCUGGGUACUCCCAACACCUGACUCCAUUGAAACGAGUGGCUCCAAAGAACGUAAAUCAGAUAUGCAUGCAAAUUACAUGACAAACAAGUUCACAUUCAUGAAUGAACGAAUGCAGCAAACAAGAUCACCAAGCAUGUGGAAUCAUUCAGUAAGAGCAUCAGAUGAUAAAUCCCAAGAAAAGAUCAAAAGAAAUCCCGUUCAGAAGGUCUAAUUCCCAAGACUCGGCAAUACAACAAUUAGGAAGGUCUAAUUCCACUGGAAUCGUAAAAAUCUGACAUUGUGAGGACAUAUAUGUCGUGGAAAAUGAAACGAGCAUGGAGAGUGCCAACCCUCUCCUCACAUUACAGAGAUCUGCUAAACGUGAAAGGUACUAUGCAGAUAUGUAACCAGCGUCCCAAGACAUGAUGACCACCCACGAACUGUACAGUACUCCUCCCUUCCUCAAUCUUUGGCGUUCUGCAAAGCAACACAAGAGAGAUAUUGUCAUAAGCACGAAGUGGCCACACGUUUCAUAAUUAACUGGAAAAAAUCGAAACAUUUCCUUGCACUUAUGUUGAUCAUUACAGUAAUAAACUAGAUGUAUGCCAAUGCAGAGGAAUUCCAAAUUCUUUGAAAGCUAACAUUCAUCACUGUACAGUUGUUUGUACUAAUGGCCCUUCUCAACACUAAUUUCUGGCUUCCGAACAUAGUUGUUCAUGUUACUAAAAGAAGCUGUGUAAACCAACAAUAAAAAAUUGCCACAGCAACAAGUUUGUCAUGAACCAUGACAAUGACACUGCAGAUGAGCAUCACGCUGUGCAUUGGGCAUCUGAACGAACUGAUAUGAUGCAACAGGAAGGAAAUGACAAACAGUUUGCCUACAGUUUUGAACUAAAUUUGAAUACAGAAACCAAAUAGCUAUUAUUUGUUUGACAAACACACAUAAUGAUCAUAAUUCUAUAAUACUUUUUCUGUUCAAUUUCUGUGCAGAUUGUUUCACAAAUUCAAAAUCCUACACAGAUGCAACAGCAAAAUUGGGAAGACAUUCACUCUGGUGGUUGAUCAAACAACAGAGUUGCAGUGACGAACCCAGGAAGGCAAUGCAGCUAACUACUGGCAGACAAUAACUGUGCGAAAGACCAAACUAGCCAUGCACUGGUUUAUACUUGCAAAUAAGAUGAUCUAUUUCACAUGCUGCAGCCACAAAUCAUCAAGUGACUAAGCUCAAUUAUCACCAACUCUGCAACGUUAAUGUCCAUAUUUCAAAGUUUUGCAUCAGAUUAGCAUACAGAGACCAAUUAACCAUCAUCUGAUGCACAAAAACGCACAGCAGUAUCAUUUCUAUUGAAAUCUCCUGUUCAAUUUCUCUGCGGGUCGCCCACAGAUUGAGAAAAUACCACACAUCAAAACAGGACACACAUUAUUGCUGAAAUGACUAAUCGAACUACACAAAGCUGUCGGACAAUCCACAACUGAAUCCAAGUACCGUGCAAAAUUCAGAUGCAGCAAACAUAGAUGGAUCAGGAGGAUCACAUACCUUACGGCCUUCCUACACCUCGUCCUCCCAGUCAUCGUCCUCCUCACUGCAACAAACCCCAGAAAAACAGAUCGCAACAUCAUCAACAACGCUCGAACAGAUCGCCGACACAAACCCAAAUAGAUCAAAAUCAAGUGGCGCACGCGUACCAGUGCCGCAUGGCCCGCAUGUAGUCCGCGGUGCUGCUCCCGACGAGGCGGAGCGUGCGCUUCCCCUCAUUCUUCCUGCACGCGGACAUCGCAAGCAUCACAAAUCAAACCCAUCAAAAUACCGAAAUAAUCCGCAUGAAAUUCACCGUCACGCGGGCACUCCAAGUUGCAAUCGACAAGAGGAAGCAAUGGACGCAGAGCAACAAGAUACCUGUGUCGUGUGCGGCGGUCAAUGAGGGGGCGGCGGUCGAAGGGCGACUUGAAGCGGGUGUAGCGGAGUUCGUCGUCGUCGUAGUAGUCGUAGUUCACCGCCUUGUCCAUCUUCGCGAGAUAGCGCUUGACCUUCUUCACGGCGACGCCGGCUCCCCCUCUCGCCUCAGACCAGGGGAUCCCGUGCGGGUGGAAGCCCUGGGCGACCUCCAGAAAACGUGGGCUCCCGUACCCAUCUGCAGCACACGCCGAGCAAGGCAACCGAACGAAAUCCGUCAGAGAUGAAGCAACCAAGCAAGCCAAAUCCGCGAGGAAACGAAGCAACCAAGCGAAUCCGCGAGAAAACGAAGCAACCAAACCAAAUCCGCGAGAAACGAAACAAUAGAACCCAAAUUGGAAGCACAUUAGGAUGAUCAGAUACGAUCGGGCAGCGAACGUACAUCGGUAGUACAGCACACCAUCGGUGAGGGGAGGAACGAGCUCGGUGCGGGAACCAAUCCCUAGCCUUCCGACGCUAGGAGGGCGGAGUCUGAGACGAUGGUGGCGUGGGUGCGGAAUUGAUCUCGUGUAAGGCAAGGUGCAGAACUCUCCUCUGUUCUCUACUCUCUUCUCUGUGAGACUGUGUCUGCGAGGGGAGGAGGUCACGUGAUCCAUAUGGAGCAAGAAGACACGAGCACGCUAUGGUUUUGGACUUCGAAUUCUUUCUUCUCGUACAAGACAGCACAAUGCGCGGGGACUAUGUGUUGUAGUGGAUGACUUGUGGGGUCAGGAGAGUAUUGGUUCCCAGAGUUUCUGGGAAAGUGGAGAGGCUUUGAGCUUCUGGGUAUGGAAUGGGUGAGAAUAAACAAACGCAGCAGUACUGGCGCGAAACCCAGGUUGUUGAGCCAGGAAACUGGUCACGUGAGAGGCGCUUGUUGAUGUGGUUGGGCCGCGUUCCAGCCUUCGAUGAAUUUGAAAGGAGAAGAACGUUUUUUUUGGGAGAAAAAGGAGAAUGUUUGUCUCCAGGGCUUCGGCUGUUUUGCCCGAUACUCGGGUUCAUGCUCGGUGGGCUUUCACCUUACACUUAAAAACUGUUGGAAUAUUUGAGUCUAGCCCAUAUAAAUUUAAAUAAUUUCUAUAAAAUUUUAAAGGCAUAUUAGUGCAUAGGUGCAUGGUAACAAGUUAGUCCCAUCUUGUUAGAAGAGGUGGAGUGAAUCUAACUUAAAUAGUUGGAUGCUCUCCAUGCUCUUGCAAGCGUGGGUGAGAGGAAGAAGGAAGAACAUACGCGUGCGUUCGCCUCGCCUCGCCGGGCUUCGGGCGAAGGACGCGCGCACGCGACGUGCGCAUGAAUGGUCCGUCAAAAUCCGGAUCCAACCCUUACGGGCAUGCGGCUUCUUUUUGCCCAUCGGCUCUCCGGUAUCGAGCGAACUGUUACGGCUGUAAAGAGCCGAUCGUUCUCGAUCCUGCACCGGGAGAGGGCGAAUAAAGUUUUUGGGAAGUGCUCUACGCGACUGCUCGAACGCUUCCACAUCGCCGUCCUCUACGUCCUCGUCACCACUGCUCGUCUACCUCCUCGUCAGUGGGGUGCGUGGAGGUGCUGAUCAUCGUUGUCGUCAUCUUUGCCUGGUUAUUCCAGUCACACAAGACACGUACGGUUUUCUAUCCCUAACUAUACUUUUCAUACCUAGUAUGAUCUGGUCAGGAUUGAUAUUGCUGCUGCAAUAUUUUAUCUUAAAUUAUGUUAUGAGCAUGUUUAGAUCUAUUCAUUUUCUGUACGUAAUUUUCAUCAUGGAUUAAUUUAAAACUGAAACUCCUAAUUUUUUUCAACAAUCCAAAAACCUUAUUAUAGGAAUUUCAGUUUCAUGGCUGGAUUUGUUGAUGCUCUGAGACCCGAGAAGUUCUCUGGCGAGCACUUUAAGAGAUGGCAAACGAGAGUGAUUCUGUGGCUCUCUGCCAUGAACAUGCUGUGGGUGUCUAAGGGAAAACCUGAGGGGACUCUCACCCCUGAAUAGGAGAAGGCCUUUACCGAGACCAACACACUUUUUGUGGGCGCUGUGAUCGGUACACUUGUAGAUCGUCUUCAGGAUGUGUACCUCCAUCACACAGACGCUAAAAAGUUGUGGGACGCCCUGGAGGCCGACUAUGGCGGUACAGAUGCUGGCGCUGAGCUGUACAUCAUGGAGCAGUACCAUGACUACAAGAUGACCGAUGGAAAAUCUGUAGUGCUCAUGAGAUACAGUGCAUGGCUAAGGAGUUUGAGCACCUCAAGAUCAACCUACCCGACAAGUUUGUGGCUGGUGACAUCAUUGCCAAGUUGCCUCCUUCAUGGAGGGAUUUCGCCACUAUUCUCAAACAUAAGAGGAUGGAGAUAUCAGUGUCUAAUCUGAUAGCAUCCCUUGAUGUUGAGGAAAAAGCUCGGGCUAAGGAUGGACGAUCUAAGGCUGCUGAGGGCCAGACUAGCGCCAAUAUGGUGCAAAAGUCUCAUGGCAAAGGCAAGGGCAAGGGAAAAAAAACAAAGCUGCAGCCUACCACUACUUUCAAGAAGAAGAAGUUCAAGGAAGGUCAAGACUGUUUUGUGCGUGAAUCUACUGAUCAUUGGGCAAAGAAGUGCCCACACCGCAAAGAAAGGAAGCCUUCACCUAAGCAGAAGACUGUGAACACGAUCACCAUGGCUGGAGUGGAAACCAGUGGGUAUACUUCUAUACCUUCGGUUUUUUCAGUAUUUCAAUCUACUAGUUGGUGACUUGAUACUGGUGCAAAUGUUCAUGUGUAUUCUGAUGCUACCUUGUUUUCUUCUUACCAGACCGUUAGAGAUUCUACCAUGAUGAUGGGCAAUGGAUCGCAUGCUACUGUUCGUGGUGUUGGCACGGUCGAUCUGAAACUUACUUCGGAAAAGAUCGUGCAGCUGAAGAACGUGCAGCAUGUCCCUACUAUCGGUAAGAAUCUAGUUAGUGGCUUCCUUUUGUGUAGGGAUGGUUUUAAAGUAGUGAUUGAGUCCAAUAAAUUUAUCAUGUCUAAGUGUGGAUAAUUUAUCGGUAAAGGCUAUGAGUGCGGAGGCUUGUUCCGUUUUUCAGUGUCAGAUUACUGUAAUAAGUCCGUGAACUUAAUUUCUGAUAGUAUAAAUGAGAGCGAUGCAUCUGUUUGGCACUCGCGUUUAUGUCAUCUGAAUUUUGGCAAUAUGUUUUGACUUUCCACCAUGAGUUUAAUUCCGAAUUUUUCCAUAGCCAAAGGUUCUAAGUGCCAUAGUUGUGUGCAAUCUAAGCAACCUCAAAAACCUCACAAGGUGGCAGAGGAGAGACAUUUGGCCCCUCUAGAACUCGUUCAUUCAGAUAUCUGUGAGAUGAGUGGCGUGUUAACAGAAGGUGGAAAAAGAUAUUUCAUGAUCUUGAUUGACGAUGCAACUAGAUUUUGCUAUGUGUAUUUGUUGAAAAUGAAAUAUGAGGCUCUUAACUGCUUUAAAAUCUAUAAGGCUGAAGUAGAAACCCAACUUGAGAAAAAGAUCAAACGACUUAGGUCCGAUCGAGGAGGUGAAUAUUUCUCUUACGAUUUUGACUUAUUCUAUGCGGAACAUGGCAUGAUUCAUGAGAUGACGCCUCCCUAUUCACCUGAAUCAAACGGGGUUGCCGAAAGGAAGAAUCCCACGGUGUCUGACUUGGUUAACGCCAUGUUAGAAACCGCUGGAUUAACUAAGGCAUGGUGGGGGGAGGCAGUAUUGACUGCAUGUCAUGUCCUGAAUAGAGUUCCCAUGAAGAAUAAGAAACAGACUCCUUACGAGGAGUGGAUUGGGAGAAAACCUUCACUCUCUUACUUGCGCAUAUGGGUUUGUUUGGGCAAGGUGAAUGUGCCAAUCAGCAAGAAAUGCAAGUUGGGACCUAAAACUGUGGAUUGUAUCUUUUUGGGUUAUGCACAUCAUAGCAUUGCUUAUGGAUUUCUAGUAGUUGAAUCUGAGGUGCCUGAUAUGCAUGUAAAUUCACUGCUUGAGUCUUGUGAUGCUACUUUCUUUGAGAAUAUUUUCCCUAUGAAAGACUCGCAUGCUAUAUGUUCAUUACCUUUGAAUGAAACAGUGAAUACAACUUCUGAAUCUGUUGAAUUUUCUGAGCAUGAUGAACACACACUUGAAUCAAAUUAUGAUGAGAUUCACAGUGAUGCUCCUAGGAGGAGCAAGAGGCAAAAAACUAUAAAGUCUUUUGGUGAUGAUUUCACUGUUUAUCUUAUAGAUGAUUCUCCUAAAAUAAUCACUGAGGCAUACUCAUCUCCUGAUGCGGAUGAUUGGAAAGAAGCUGUCCGUAGCGAGAUGGACUCCAUUCUCUCCAAUAGAACUUGGGAGCUGGUAGAAAGACCGUAUGGUUGUAAACCUGUGGGUUGCAAGUGGGUGUUUAAGAAGAAGCUUAAGCCUGAUGGUACUAUUGACAAGUACAAGGCUCGUCUUGUGGCUAAGGGUUAGCCCCAGAAAGAAGGCGAAGAUUUCUUUGAUACUUACUCACUUGUUGCGAGAUUGACCACUAUUCGUGUUCUACUCUCCCUGACUGCCUCGCAUGGUCUUCUCAUCCAUCAGAUGGAUGUUAAGACAACUUUCCUCAACGGAGAGCUGGAAGAGAAAAUCUACAUGACACAACCUGAUAGUUUUGUAGUAGAGGGUUAUGAGGAUAAGGUGUGCAAGUUGUAUAAAUCUUUGUAUGGCCUGAAGCAAGCACCUAAGCAAUGGCAUGAGAAAUUCAACUCGACACUCAUAUCAGCAGGUUUUAGUGUCAAUGAGGCUGAUCGAUGUGUGUAUUACCGCUAUGGUGGGUGCCAAGGAGUUAUAUUGUGUUUGUAUGUCGAUGAUAUACUGAUCUUUGGCACUAGCCUUGAUGUAAUCAACAAGGUCAAGAUAUUCUUGUGUCAAAACUUUGAUAUGAAAGAUUUUGGUGAGGCUGAUGUUAUUCUCAAUAUCAAGCUGAUCAAGGGAGAGAAUGGGAUUACUCUUUCGCAAUCCUAUUAUGUGGAGAAAAUGUUGAAUCGGUUUGGCUAUAAGGAUAGUAAAUCUAGUCCAACUCCCUAUGAUCCGAGUUUGAUCCUUCGAAAGAACAAAAGAAUUGGCAGAGACCAAUUGAGAUAUUCACAGAUGAUUGGCUCACUCAUGUAUCUUGCGAGUGCAAUGAGGCCUGACAUCUCUUUUCCUGUUAGCAAGUUGAGCCGGUUUACUAGUAAUCCGGGAGAUGAUCAUUGGCAUGCGGUUGAGCGCGUAAUGCACUACUUGGUGGGUACUAUGGAAUACGGGAUUCACUAUUCCGGUUUUCAUGCAGUACUGGAAGGAUACAGUGAUGCUAAUUGGAUAUCGGAUGUAGAUGAGCUGUAUGCCACUAGUGGAUAUGUUUUCACUCUUGGCUGUGCUGCUGUUUCAUGGAGAUCAUGCAAACAGACGAUCCUGAUGAGGUCUACUAUGGAGGCAGAACUCACAGCACUAGAUAUAGCUGCAGUGGAAGCCGAUUGGCUUCGUGAGCUCUUGAUGGACUUACAUAUUAUCCAGAAACCAUUGCCGGCAAUAAUGAUGAACUGUGAUAAUCAAACUGUGAUUGUCAAGGUAGACAUGUCAAAGGACAAUAUGAAGUCUUCAAGACAUAUCAAGAGACGGUUAAAAUCAGUAAGAAAAAUGAGAAACUCCGGAGUUAUCACUAUGGGUUAUGUCCACACUGAGAAAAAUCUGGCUGAUCCGUUCACCAAGGGACUGUCACGUAAUGUGAUAGACAAUGCAUCCAAGGAGAUGGGUUUGAAACCUGUACAAGCUAUUUCCUAGUGGUAACCCAACCUAUAUGAUCGAGAUCCCGUGAAUUAGGAUUUGGGAAGAACAAGCUACAGGUUAGCAUGAAAGUAACCUUUUAUACUCACUCGAGAAGGAUGCAAUACUCUCGAUUACUGCAUGGCAGGUUGGUAUUGGUCUUAAUGUAUUCUGUUGGCUUUAAUUAGCAAAGACGUUAUCCUGCAGAACGUUCUUGAAAGAAUACACCUAUGUGAGCCCGACUGUUGGACGGUCGUAGUCUGUGAGAUUCAGGUAAUCUCUAUUAAGCUCAUGAAGAGACCAGAAAGUACGACCGAUAUGCUCCAACCGCGAAGUAGCCUACUGGAGGUCAAGUAUCAGUUUGACUGUAAGUGAAACUCAUUUGUACAAAACUUGCAAUUUAAGGCUUAGUCCAUUGUUCAAGUUAUGAAUGAGUGUAACUUGCUGUUCUAGAUGGAAGUUCAACUUAACAGUCUCCAUUGAAACACUGGUAUAUCAAACAACAGUGGGUUGAGGCAAAGUCAUAAAUAAGACUUUCAGAUCUGGUGAGGGAUUGUUGGAAUAUUUGGACCUAGCCCAUGUAAAUCCAAAUAAUUCCUAUAAAAUCUCAAAAACCCAUUAGUGCAUAGGUGCAUGGCAACAAGCUAGUCCCACCUUGCUAGUGGAGGUGGAGGGAACCUAAGUUAAAUAGUUGGAUGCUCUCAAUGCUCUUGCAAGUGUGGGUGAGAGGAAAAAGAAAGAACACACGCGCGUGCUCGCUCGCCUCGCCGGGCCGGGCCGGGCCGGGCUCGGGCUCGGGCUUCGGGCGAAGGGCGCGCGCACGCGAUGUGCGCAUGAAUGGUCCGCCAAAAUCCGGGUCCAACCCUUGCGGGCAUGCGGCUUCUUUUUGCCGAUCCGGUAAAGAGCCGAUCGCCUCUCCGGUCUCGGGCAAACUGUUACGGCUGUAAAGAGCCGAUCAUUCUCUUUAGUCUCGGGCGAAAGAGCCUAUUGUUUCCUAUGAAUCGGCUCUCCGGUCUCAGGCGGAGGCUGUAGAAAGCCGAUUGUUCCCCGACGGCUUCUUUUUGCCACUUUGAAUCUGUUACGGAUUUCACGUGCGGAUUUUUGGGACUCGUAACCGACUAGGUUUUUGGGACGCCAAAACCCUAACGGUUCUCCUUAUAAAUACGCGCGGGUGCCGGCACAGAGAGAAGCACAACAGAAGAAAAUCUAAGACGCACAACACGCCUCAACCUACAUGCUGCGCCCCCGCGUGCGCUACUUCAUCCCGUUCGUCGGCGUGCACCGGCGAUCGGGAGAGUAGGUCUCCGGAACCUCAUCCUCAGCGAUUCUGCACCGGGAGAGGGCGAAUAAGGUUUUUAGGAAGCGCUCUGCGCGACUGCUCGAACGCUUCCACAUCGCCGUCCUCUACGUCCUCGUCACCACGGCUCGUCUACCUCCUCGUCAGUGGAGCGCGACUCGGCGUCGUCAAGCGCGCGGAGGUGCUGAUCAUCGCCGUCGUCAUCUUUGCCUGGUUAUUCCAGUCACACAAGACACGUACGGUUUUCUAUCCCUAACUAUACUUUUCAUACCUAGUAUAAUCUGAUUAGGGUUGAUAUUGCUGCUGCAAUAUUUUAUCUUAAAUUACGUUAUGAGCAUGUUUAGAUCUAUUUGUUUUCUGUCCGCAAUUUUCGUCAUGGUCAUGAUUUAUCUUCGGAUUAAUUUAAAACUGAAACUCCUAAUUUUUUUCCAACAAAAACAGCCCACUAAAAUGACAAAUUCACCUUCCACUAAAAAAAGAGAGGGGAAGAAAAAAAAAGACAACAAACGAGAUCACCAAGCCUAUGGAAUCAAGCAAUAGGGUUAUCACAGGAUAAAUCUCGAGUAAACAAAGGCUAACAGAAUACCAAGGUCUCUUUUCAGUGCAGGCAUUGGAGAAGAAUCUGACAAUUUAGAGCAGAGGAGACGAGCAUUGAGAGCGCAAAAAUUAUUACAGGCCAGCUCUCUCCUCGCAUUGUAGAGAUUGCAGAAAUGUAAAAGGUACUAUGCAGAUAUGUAAGUAGCCCAGCGUCCCAACUCCCAAGCCAAGAGACUUCCAAAGAACUAUACACUCCUCCCUUGCUCAAACUGUUGGUUUUCUGCAAAGCAACAGCAGAUAAACGUGGUCACAAACGAGAAAUGAUCACACAUUUCAGAAAUCAAAUGAACUAAUUUAAAAACAUCUCCUGUUACUGCUGAUGCUCAUCAUUAGUAAACUAGCUAGAUCAUACAGAUAAAAGUGGUCAAUGCUGUAAUAUUCAGAGUUCUGUCACUGCCAACACAUAUAUGCCUUGGGCAUAUGAUGGGCUUGAGCAGAGCUAAGCUACAAUGGUUGUGUAGCAGUAAUUAAACAUAGCCACGUCGUUGUAUUUGGUGGUGGAUUCGGUCCUUCAUUCUUAACAUGAAUGUACUGGUAAACAGAAUCAGGCAAACAAAGCGAAGAUAAAUAGUUCACAACAUAUCAUUCAUAUUAAAUGGCAGAGACAUGUUUUUUCUUCUCCUUUUCACAUGUUUUUUCCAACAUAUAAAUAGCAGAUACCAAUAUCGGUAAUCAACAGUGAUAAGUUUAUAAUUCAGUGGAAGAAUAUAGGUGUGCUAAAGAAAAUAACAAGCUCCGAUAUAAUUGGACAGUAAGGACAUGAAUUCAGAAUGAUCUGGUCGGUGCAAUAGGAAGGAAAAACAGACUUAUCACUCAAGAAUCGAUUUCACAUGCUGGCAAUCACAAGUCAUUAGCUAAGCAAGUUCAAUCUAAGGUGAACUCCAUUGUAUCACUGCCAACUAUUUCAGAGUUUGCACAGGCAUGCAAUGGUAAGGUAACCAUUAUGUGCGACAACAAAUGAUCCCUGUUCUUAGUAGUAAAUGCAAACACGGGUGUUCUUUUGCCAAGGAUAACCAAGAAUGGAAAUGACCACAUCAACAAUACUACAAGGCAGUGAAAAGGUAACUGUGCAAGAGAACGGGACAAGGGCUAUGAUGCGACGGGAAGAAAAUGAAGAUCAUUAUAGCCUUUUGUUUCAGAAGAAGAGAGAAUUCGUCCCGAGAGGCCAAGACUCUAUUACACAUGCUAUUCGUCACAAAUCAUCAAGUAACUAUUCUCAAAUUAUUGUAAACUCUUCAACAGUUCAAGUCCACUAUUUCAGUUUUCUUUGUACUAACUUAGCAAACCGAGGCCAAAUAACCAUUAUGUUUUGCACAAGACCACAUGGGGAUCUCAAUUACGUGGGAACAUCCAGAGUUCAAACUACCAAAAAGGUGCAGGUACAAAACUGGGAACACAUUUUUACUCAAAUAGUCUGAUGACUGAUCAAACACAAAUCUGCGGUGACAAUCCAAAAACGAAACAAAACGAAACCCAAGUACCGUUCAAAGUCCGUUUCUACCAAUGUUGGAAAUAGCCAGCAAUAGCUCCGCUAUAGCCCGCUAUUAGCUUUUUAGGAAAUCUACCACUACGCUAUUCAACAUUUGUCUGCUACAUCCGCUAAAGGGGUUUUACGAGGUUUAGCAGUGCUAAAUGUCCGCUAAAGUGGCUUAUAUGAGAUUUAGUAGCGCUAAAUGUCAUGUUGCUAGUAGAUUUUAGUGGUGUCAUUCCUCAAAGACAUAGUCAAAAGAACCGAUAGAAGUAAAUGAACGUAGUAUGGACCCUAGACAACGUAGCAUGGGCACCGUUGGUCAGUUAAAAGACAUGUUAGAGUUUAUUUUUUGGUGUUAGACCAAUAAUGACUAUAUUUUAAAAGUGAUUAUUGAUUAUUUUAUUAUUCCGCUAAAUGAUUUAACUUUCGCUAUAGCCCGCUAUAGCUUUCUAUAGCUUUUAGAUAAGGCUGCCGCUAAACUUCAUAUCUCACUGUUUAUAACAUUGAUUCCCACGGAAGAAAACAAAUGAACCAUAGGUGCCCCUGUUUCGCAUGCUGCUAGCAUAAAUCAUAAGUUACUAAGCUCAAAAUUAUGACCUAUUGUGCUUCACUAAUGUUUGCUAUCUCAAUGUUUGACCCUAAUCUAGCAUAAAGAUCCAAAAGCUAUUAUGUACACUUCCCCAAUUCAACUUCUCUGUGGAUCGUCCACAAUUGAAACAACCACACAGAUGCAAGAGCAAAACUAGUAACACAUGUUUGCUACAGAUCAAACAACACAAGGAUGUACAGACAAGACAACCAGGAUCCAACUAUUGUGCAAAAUUUCAGAUCCAUAUCAGAGAACAACUACGGGAUAUCGUAGGUUUAUGCAGAGGCUAGAAAUAGCAGGAUCACAACCUGAUGGCCCCUCCUACACCUCGCCCUCCCAGUCGUCGCUGUCAUCAAAAUCACCAAAUGCAGCCUCUUCACUGCAACAAUCACGAACCAAAACAGAUGGCAACGUCAACAACAACGCUAGAAUCACAGGGUCCUCGUUCGUCGACACAAACCGAAACGACCAAAUCAAGUGGCGCACCAUUGCCGCAGGUAGUCCGGGCUGCUGCUCCCGACGAGGCGGAGGGUGCGCUUCCCCGCGUUCUUCCUGCACGCAGACACACCGCAAACACCACGGAGUAAACCCAUCAAAAUUACCAAAUAACUCCCCAAAAUUUAUCGCCGCACGCGUGCGUACAAACCAACAAGCAUGAGCGCAAAGCAACACAGCAUACCCGAGGGGCGGACGACGGCCGAUGAGGGGGCGGCGGUUGAACGGCGACUUGAAGCGGACGUAGCGGAGAUCGUUAUCGUCGUAGAAGUCGUAAUCCACAGCCCUGUCCAUCUUGGCGAGAUACUUCUUGACCUUGUUCACGGCGACGCCCGCUCCCCCUCUCGCCUCGGACUUGGGGAUCCCGCGCGGGUGCAAGCCCUGCACGAUCUCGAAGAACCCAGCGCUCCCGUAUCCAUCUGCAACCCCGAUCGAGGUACGAAAUCAAAUCCGUCAGCAACGAGCGACCAAACCAAAUCAAAAGCUCGUUGGGAUGAUCAGAGGCGAAUUGGGCAGCGUACAUCUCUGGGAGAAGGCCAUGGCGGAGGGGGAAGCCGGCUUGGUGCGGGAACCCUAGCCUCCCGUCGCAGUGGGGACGAAGCGAAGAGCCUGAGACGAUGGGGUGGGUGGGUGCGGAAAUGGUCGGCGAGGAAGGCGAGGUGGGAUGGGUUUGGAAGACGGUGGAGGGGGUUUAGCAGAACUCCCUCUUUGUGGGGGAGGCCACGUGACAUGUACGGAGCAAGAAGACACGAGCUCGCCCCUUGGUUGGGCUUCGAAUUCUUUCUUCUCAGACAAGACAGAAAAGAAAGCGGGAACGGUCGUGGUCUUUAGUCAAUGACUAGUGGGCUCAAGCACAUGUGGUCCCACAGUAUCCCCCAACGCUCUGGCCUUCGGGUUAGCAAAUUGGGUGACAAUAGAUAGAGCAGGUGGUACUGGCACGAAAUGCAGGUGGUGGGCCCGUAACAGUGGUCACGUGACAGAUGCUUCGCGGACUGGUUUGUGGGCGCUUCGCACAGAAAGAACCGAGUACCUCCAUGGGCCUGAAUCGUCAUGGGUUUGUGUGGGCCUGCGCUUGUAUGGCCGAAAUACGGCCAGGUUCGUCAAAAGAACCCACCACUCCCACUCGCGAUUUUGUGCGCUGCUGCCUCUGCAGAGGAGCAUCGGCGCUCCCUCCUCCGCAUUUCCUCAAACACUUCGCGCGCCGCCGCCACUCCCGCCGCCGCCGCCGCCGCCCUCCGGCCACCGGCCUCCCCUCUAACCCCCCACAAGGCCCCAACCCGACCCCCCUAGAGAUGCAGAAGGUGCGGCUCAAAUGGGUGAAGAACCGGGGCCUGGACCACCUGAUCGAGCGCACCACCUCCAUCCGCGCGUCCUGCCUGCUGCUCGACCACCUCGCGCGCCUCCCCACCUCCUCCCCAGUGCCGGCGCGCUCCCUCGCGCGUCUCCAGAAGCCGCUGGGCCUCACCGUGCCCGUGCUCCGAUUCCUCCGCCGCCACCCCACGCUCUUCGCCGAGCAACCGCACCCGCGGUUCCCCACGCUGCCCUCUUUCUCCCUCACGCCGGCCUCUCACACCCUGCUGGCCCGGCUCGCCGACGCCUCCGCGCGUGACGCGCACGUCCGCCUCGCGCGCCUCCUCCUUCUCACCCGCUCCAGGUCGCUCCCACUCGCCUCCGUGCUCCCUCUCCGCUUCGACCUGGGCCUGCCGUUUAACUUCGCCGCCGCGUUCCCUGCCUCCCACCCCGGUGUCUUCGCCGUCGCCAACAACCGCAUCUCCCUACUGUCCGCCUCCGGCCUCCCCGAGGACAUCGCCGUCUCCUCCCUCCAGCGCCGCCACGCCGCGGCCAUCGACUCGGCGACCUACCGCGCGCUGUCCCGGCCGCCGUCCUCGUCGAGCGCCCCACUCGCGUUCCCAAUGCGAUUCCCGCGGGGGUACGGCGGGAUGAAGAAGGUCAAGGCCUGGAUGGAUGAGUUCCACCGCCUUCCCUACAUCUCGCCGUACGAUGACGCGUCAGGGAUCGACCCUGAGAGCGACAUCUACGAGAAGAGGAACAUCGGUUUGCUACAUGAGCUGCUUGGGCUAUCGGUGCACAAGAUGGUGCGGAGGAAUGCCAUCCGGCUGCUCCGGGAGGAGCUGGGACUGCCGCACAAGUUCACUAGGUUGUUUACGCGGUACCCUGGGGUGUUCUACCUGUCAUUGAAAUGCAAGACAACGACUGUGGUACUUCGAGAGGGGUAUGAGAGAGGCAAGCUCGUGGAACAGCAUCCCUUGGCAGCGGUGCGGGACAAGGUGUAUUAUGUAAUGCGCACUGGAGUGCUGUACCGCGGGAAGGGUUUGUCCAAGCUUGUUCUUGAUGAGGAUGUUGCUGAGGAAGAGGGUGAACUGGAUGGAGAGGAGUUUCAAGGGGAGGGAAUGGAUGAAGAUGCUGAUGUCGAGUGCUUUGGGAUGGACAUCGUGGAUGACGAUGGGCCUGCUGAUGAUGAGGAUGAUGAAGGCGAUAGUGAUGGUUGACAUGGGCUGAUGAUGCUUGCCUUCUGAACUUCUGUUGUGGGGGAUUGUAGCUUCAGCCAUUAAUUCCAGUGAGUGGGUUCGAUUCGACUUAGUGGCUCCAAAUGCGAGGUUCUGCAAAGCAUAGUAGACUACUGUGAGUAUCAUGUUCUGUCAAAAUUUUGGUGUAUGCUACAUUUAGCUGCUUAAGAAGUAGCAAGCUAAUUUAAAUAUCUAUUUUCUUUGGUUGGUUCUUGGUUGGAGCAGUAGAGCAUUACUUGUGGUUCUGUGUAUAGCAUGAGAAUUACUAGCAAUUCCACAGUUAUGAAGAUAGUGAAGUCAAUUCUUUUAUGAUCUUGUAUCAUUUGUAUGAAAGCUAAGGUACGUGCAAAAUCAAAUAGGAGUUACCUUGGCUUUUCUGAUUAGCCAAAGUGCCUUCUCUGCAUAUAAUAAGGUAAGUUUCCUCGCCGAUUGCCAUUCUACCAUAGUCUAUUCCAGAGAUUGCAUUUGUUUCAUUAGUCUAUACUUCACAGGAUUUUCUUACACUCAUGCUAUAGGGGAAAAACCUGACUCUUAGUUACAAUCUAAUGCUUGGGUUACCUUAACCUUCAACUAUUUAUUGAGGCAUUCAGCUAUAAAUAACCGAACCCAAUUUGAUAUAGAAAGUGGGAUACUGGGAUUCUCACCUCCAUUGUCAACAGAAACUCAAAUCAGUGUAUUUUAACCUUCUAUCAUUUAUUGAGGUACUCAGCUUUUUGGAGAAGCUUAAUGCCUUAACCUUCCUUAGAAAGACACCGUGGACUUUUAUCAAGGUAAGUAGAGGUCCUCUUUACUAAGGUGUGUGACGGUUUUGAAUUGAUUUAUUUAGGUUUAAACAGGCCACCAACAAUCUACACGUAAUGCUCACAAGCUAAACAAAUCUGCUGACAACCCAACGACUUCAGUGAUCCUAACCGAGUUCCCUAACAAACCAAAGUAAUCCGAACCAAACUUCCUUACAGCCAAGUGAAGGGAAAUGAAAACUACAACACCGUGCUGGCACGCUCCCGCGUCGUUCACACUGACCCGCUCAUGACAGACUUCUUGGUGCCCUGGCCAUAGAUGCAACCCCACAUAACACUCCUAAUCUCUGUAUAGGCUCUCAGCCUCUCACCAAUGAUGGUCAUGGGUGUGGCAAUUCACAAUGUUGCUGACCCUUGCUCCUCGCAAUCAUUCCGGCUAAGUAUCAUGUUGUUGACCCAGGAACCUUUGCAAUCCCAUGACAACAUUUGGAACACAGUGGAAUCAAAUUGCUAUGAGAGCUGUCUCGCUCUCUUUGUGGACGUGGUAUGUUUGUGCUCUUUCUGGUUUUGAAUUGUCACCGUGAAGGUUUUUUGUGAAAUUAAAUAUAAGAUACUAACAAUUUACCUUACUUUCUACCUAAAUGCUGGACAUUAGUACAUUACUAGCUCUCUUAAUUGCCUGUUUGUAAAUUCCUGGAAAGUCUCACAAUCUUUUCAGAUUUCCUAGUCGCUUAGAUGUGCAGCUAGUACCUUCAAGAAUUGAGAAGCAUGUGAAUAUGCUCUUGUGCCUCAAAUAAUGCAGUUGAUCUUGUGUGGUAUGCCAGGCAGCCAGCUUCUUAGCUCCAUAUUGGCUUAUCAAAUAACAUAUCUGUCAGUACUCUGUUCUAAUGCGUAUAUAUACUUGUAUAUGGCUUUCUUGAGUUCAUAAUUUUUUUUGAAAAAAUAAUAUUGGUGUUUCUUAAUUUGUUAAUAUUACAUCUCAUCUUUUUUAUUUGUUUACUAUCAUUGUAUCUUUUGAGAUGUGGCUGAUUUGUGUAGAGCACUCACUUGCAAACUGGCAUGAGUUUGACCUCUGUCCCAUUAUCAUUCACAUCUUGUAGUUUUAGCUAGAUUUCUUGCUUGCUCUGCCUAAAACACAAUUUAUGUGCUCUGUUAGCAUGAUUCUAUUUGUGAGAGCAAAUAUUAGAUCCAUUCAAUAUCAAACUGUUUCCGCUGCAACCAACAUGCCAGUUUACACGUUUUUCUUGUAAGCACCAUCUUAUUUGGUUAAGAAUAUUUUCAAGUUGUUGGAUGCCCAACAGUGUGAUCCACAAAUAAUAAGUUUGUUUGGAAGUGGUAUUCUAAACUUUCCCAGCAAUUUAGUACAUUUCUUAAUCCAUAGGAAAGCGGAUGGAAAGAAGUGACAUUUCUUUGUCAUAUAUAUUGAGGCGGAUUGGUUGUCCUAUUUGGAUUAAUCUCUCUACUAAAAUUUAAUAUGUUGCCGUUUGCAAGUCUAGUUCAAGCCCUGUUUGGAGCUCAUGCUGUAGCUCUCGGAAGAGCUAAUCUAGACCAAGCUUAAUUCCAAUGAUGCUAUGUUAUCCUAUUUAAUUCUAUUAAAUUUAAUUAAUUAUGCUGCUUAUGUAUCCCAGUAGCUAUCAGCCUGCUUUAGUUUCACGACACUCUACUUGAUUGAGAGUUGGAAAAGAGAAGGGAUCAAUUAUUCUUUCCAUGCAUUGUAAACUAAUUUUUUUUUUGUCUAUUGCAUAAGAGUUAUUGAGCAACACAAGAGCAUGGUAUCUUGUUGAACCCAGAGCAGUUGUUCAUGAUCAGUGAUUUUAUUUGUCUGAGCAAUCCAUUUGGAAUUGACAAUUUUAGUACUUAUUUGAACUGCUUGGUGCUUAGGUGGUGCAGUUCACUUGAUUUUUACCUGGUGCGCCAGGAUUUGAAACAACAGCUACUUUAACAAGAUCCUUCUCUGUGAAGUUUCAUUGUUUGUGGUACUGCCUGUUAGUCACCUAAGACGCAGCUUAUGCGGUUUGCAUACAGUCUUAUUCCUCUUGUUGCAAUAUUUAUUAAACACAAUCCACUAUCUUUUGUGUUUCAUUUCCAAUGGGAUGGCAACAGACUAUUAUCAUAAUAGCAAUAGCAGCACAGACCAUCUUUGAGAUGUUCUUUUGGCAUUUCACAUUUAGCUAGUGACAUUAAAUUCAUAAUAGGUGGCAACAACAUUCUAAGAAGAAAGCAAUCCCUAGUGGACUCUCCAUUUUUUAUUUUCGUUUUAGUGUUAUUGAUCCCUGAGAUUCGUGUGUAUUAGGGCCUGUUUGGAUCCAAUGGAAAGAGAAAGAGCAAAAUUUUUGCUCUUUUGCACUUUUUUUGCACUUUUGGAUCCAAACACCCCAAAGUGCAAAAGGGCAAAUGCUACUGUAAUUUUGCUAAUUAUGGAUUAAUUAGGCUUAAUAGAUUCGUCUCGUCAUUUAGUCCUCAUCUAUGUAAUUAGUUUUUUAAUUAAACUAUAUUUAAUACUUCUAAUUAGCGUCCAAACAUCUGAUGUGACAGGAGCAAAAAUUUUACCAUUUGCCCUUUUUACCAUUUGCCCUUGGAUCCAAACAUAGCCUUAGAUUAGUUUUGCUGCUUGCAUUACUUAAAUACCGACUUUUGGUAUUGUAUUCUCCAACAUGGCAAAUAGUAUGUUAUUUCUGCUGCUUAUAAAACUGAAUUCCCCAACAUCACAGUUGGACCUCUUUUUUUCAUAAAACUCAGGCAGCCUAGUAUAGCUGACAAACAAGAAGUCACCAACUAAGAAAACAAAAAUAGCUCUUGGUGUUGUGUGUGUGAAGCUGCACGGCAGAUCCAGAGGCUGCAACUCUGCUGCCUGCUGUGCAAGAGCAACCAUGAUGAACUGUCCGGCUCUUCAGGCCAAUGCUUCUCUUGACUUGUCACGGUGGCUGCGAAGGGGAAACCCCCAUAGCCUCACGUUCCCACAGCCUUUUUAUCAGGCUAAAAAGUAGCUGGGCAUCAUAGGAGAGGUGAGAGCAGAUGCAUGCCCCAGAAGACCACAAUUGGGCACUGCACUUUCCUGGAUUCCAGUGCCCAGAUGGAUGAAGGGCCAGGGAACAACCAGAAAAGGAGGAAACCAAUUUGUUACUCUAUGCCAAUUUGCCAUGAACUUUGUCAAAAAGAAUCGGCCGGGGGGCCACUGGUUGUGGGCUUGUUGCUUGAGUAGGGGUAAUCCCAAUGCCUCAUACUACCUUAACUAAUGGGGCCAGCUGAUAUUAGAAUGCAAAGCUAAUCAUUACAUCAUGCCUCCUCCCUUAUGAUGAUCCUUGGCUUUUGCACCCUGCCUUUUUCUACUGUUCACAGCAUGCAUCAUAUUGCCUAGGGCAGAGAGCAUAUUAGGAAAAACUACUAGAAGGAAAUCAUCACGGAAAUAUUCAGCAGCUUACAUUAUGAAACCAGAGCUGUGGUACCUAAACUAGUGAAUUUACUAUUAAAUCCACGCUAUAGUCCAAAAUAUGUUUACCCCAUGAAAUUCAGCAAUUAACCAUCAUGUUUUUUUGAAGAUAUGAACCUAGCAAUUUCUUAAGCCUGCUGGCAUGAACUUAGAAGGAUGGAGCAAUCUAAUUCAUGACAGUGGCAAUUUUUUCCAGGUCUUCUUUCCUGCAAGCUCACAUGAAAAACAGAAGCUAUCAUUCACACCGUAUGCUGAUCAUAAAACUGGAAGGUGCAGGUGUGCAGGCAGCAGGCAGAGCAUGGAAACUGGACACUGGACAUCUUGUUGCAGAAUUGGGCAGUGUGGAAGCAUGAGAAUCCUAUGAAUCUGGUACCUGCUGAUCGCAUUUGCAUGCACAUAUGAAUAUAUGAUGGGUUGUUAACUUGCUAUCCAGGAUUCCAGGUCCGUGAUUCGUUUCUGGCCGUCUUGGAUUUUCCUCCCUCCCUUUUUCCUGCCUGUUCUGGUUUUUGACAUGUCCGCUUCGGCAAUACGUCAGAUCUAGUUCAAGUCAGGUCACUUCAGUUUAGAUCUCUACAUGCUAUGCAAAUUAUUUAGGAUUCGGUAAAUGGCUGCAGACUCGGCAUCUCGUGUCGUUGUCGAUGCGCUAGUUUAUUUAUAGUGGGUUUGUUUCUUGCCACCACCCGGAUAAACUAUUUGGUCUAUGUGCCUGGGGUCCUGUAUGGAGUUUUCAUUGGUCCACUGACAUAUUACAUUUAUGCAAAUUGGAGGCUGCUGUUUUUCUCUACCACCAACUUGUUUACAGUUUCUUCGAUUAGACGAAGAUUAGGUCUAGUGGCUUGGGACAAAUAGAAGUUGAACAAAAUUACAUGCCAGCCCGAGGGGGGUUGGGUAUCUUCUUUUUGGCAUAAUGAAAUCGCGCAUGCGGAUGCCCUGCUUGCUAUCCUGGAAAACAGGAAAGCUGCCUGAAGAGUGUUCGACAUUAGAGCAACAAGUGGUUUCAGUUGACGAGUUAUCAUUGGGACUUUUCAUGUGCUUUAACCGAUAAUCGUUUCAUUAUUGUUCGAUAAGCUUCUGUGUUCUUUUUUAACUAAUUGUAUAAGUCUAUAUACUCUCAGUUUGCUUCAUCCACUGUCCAUCCCAGAUACCUUAUUCUGAUGCUCUCCAAAAUACUUUUGUGAAGGUGCUAGUAAUACAGCGACACACGGUGGUGAUGGAUCAAAAGAAGCCUGAGGGAAACCUAAUUGUCGCGGUCAACAGACAAAACCGGUCUAAAAAGCAGGACGGUUGCUGUGCCAUAUGGUCCUGCAGGGGUCAUUAGGGCACGGGAGAAGAAAGGAGGGCAAAAGGAGGGGAGGACAGGACACCCUACGCUGGGUGAGUUGACGAGUUGUCCUCUUGUCCCCACAACCACUCCCGCACCGAGCUGCGCAUCACGGGCUAUCACCACGCACCUUAUCGUAUCGAAAGCCAACCUAUGUGCCGUAGAUCCUUUGAUUACUCUGCUAAUUGCGCUCGCUAGAAAGAUGCUGAGCGUUAUGCGCACCUGGUACGGCACAUACCGAUAAGAGACGCUGUUGAUUGAUUUUUGAGGAUGUGACUUGCUCCCCGUUCUGUACAGCGUACAUGCACGAAACGACUCAUAUUCUCUAGCAAUAUAUUCUCGCAUAUAUUGAAGCCGAACCUGUAAGGCUGCAAUAAAGGAUCGUAGAAAAUUGGGUUUUGCAUCUCAGUAUUGAUUUAUCUUUUUUUGUUUGUUUCUGAGAUAAUGCAGGAGCCUUUUCGUCUUUUCCUCGCUAAAGUUCCACGAUAAGCAUGAUUAAAGAGUGAACAUGCGGUUAGGCGUUAUAAACGGCAUCGCCCAGUGGGUCAGGCCAGGCAUGGUCCUUUCUUUGCGUGAUUGGGACAUUGGGUUUGGGUCGCAGGACUCGCAGCACCCCAUGAAGAAGAAGGGAUGGUGACAGAUGGGUCCCAUGUAGUCCCAAAGGGUUGCAGCAUGGUCCGGCGCCCCGGGCCCAAACGUCUUCGAAUGCUCCGACGCAUUCGGCAUUUCAAUACAGCAAGGUACUUAUGGCUUUAAUUAAAACCAAUAGCUUUAUAUUCCCAAUUAUAAAUAAUUUAUUUGUUUACGGUACACUUUUAUUUUUAAUAUUUCCAUUUGCAAAUAUCCAGUAUUGAUCAUGUUUCAUAAAAAAACUGCAAGCCUAACCUUUGCUGGAAACUAAAGAAAAUGCGAUACUAAGAGAGAGAAAAAUCCAUAGAUGUUUAUGUUCACUUUUUUUUACCUCAGGCGCUUAUAUUAUUAAGAUAUCACAACAAACACGUUAGUUUCCGAGGGUUGCACGAUGUGCCGUGGACCACCCUGCUUACUGCUCACACAGAAUAAAUAUUUUGUGAGUAUUAUGUAUGGAUAGUAUAUAACAUCUAUUUAAGAAAUACGUCAUCCCUUCAGUUACAGUUAAGUGACAUAUUGGGUUAUUUUAAGUCAAUUAUUUAAAAUUUGGUUGCAUAGUUUAUUUCUUAUGUGUUGAGUUGUUUAUGUAUUAAAACAUAAUACACGUAGAUUUGUCUUUAGAGUAUACCUUUUCUUUUGAAGCAAUGUCUUUAGAGUAUACUCAUUUUCUUUAGUAAAAUGUCACUUAUUUUUGUUCAAAAAAAUGUCACUUAUACUACAACAACUGACAACUGUUUCCUCUUCAACUCAGGUUUUGCUUAAUAAAAGAACAACCAAGGACCAAAGUGAACAAAGCUGCGUGAUUAGUGAAAGUGAACCAGAGAUUAGCGGCUGGAAACACUGCUUUAGGAACGUACUCUAGGCCUGUAGCAAACUAUAGCACCCCACGCGUGGCCCCUUUACUGCAUUUUCUGCAUGUUCCAUUAAUUUCUAAAGGUGAAACGGGGAAAAAAAAAGGCAAGCGAAACAAAUACGCCGCCCCCACCUUCGACUCCAAGCUGAGGCAGAGCUCCACAACAGUUACCACGCCUUUCGCCUUUUCUUUUGUCCUCCACUCCACUUCCCCUCCUCACGAGAGGAGAGAGAGUGCGUGCGAGUGCGGAGCCAAGAACACGGAGCGCCCCGGGAUCUCCGCUUCCCCCCGAUUCGAGGUGCUUCUUUCUUCCGUUUCGGGUAAGCUUCUUGGGCCGGUGUGGUUCUUGCUUUCUUGGGGAUGCGCUGGUUUCCGCUCGUCUUCGUUAGGUUUUUUCCCCCUAUGAUGUUUGUGUGUGGGAAAGAUCUGAAUGCGGGUUGGGUGCAUUUCCGGGUAGCAAGUGGGACAUUCGGGUGUGGUUCUUGCUUCUUGGGAUUUUGCCGCGGUGGGGGAGUCGUGGGAUUUAAGCAACGUAGGCGUAAUUUGGUGGCUUGUUGUUUUCGCAAGAGAGUAAUGUCUGAUCCGGUGGAUUGAACGGCACCUUUUGUGUUUCGACAGGGUGGAGUUCGUCCUACUUCCGGGAGUUGCUUCGCUUGGUGCUGCCCAGAAUUAGCGCGGAAGCAGGUUGGAUUCUUGGAACUCUUUCGAUUGAAGGGAAAUUUUGGUUUCCUUCAGCAACUUAAUCUUUGUCGUUCUUUUUAAAUAAUGAAAUCUUUGUGCUGUUUGCAGGUGGAGUGCUCUCUGCGCUGAAAUCCGCUCACCGGGUGCCAGGAAACAGGCGGUUGGAGAGAAUUGCUUGGGAAUUCGCCAAGAAGCGACCGAAUCUUUGCAGGUGCUUGUGCACUUGUUAUGCUGAGACUGAAUGGAGGCAGUAGAUAAGAUUGCCGAGCCCAAAGACCCUUUGGUGCUCACUGCUCGGAAGGUUCAGAGCUUGGAGCCACCGAUACCUAUAAAGGCGUCGUGGAAAGGGAAGAACUCCCAGCAGCAAGAAGAGAAGGAUUUGCCAGCUGAUGGUGAGGAGAGCUUCCGGAGCCUGGAUUCUUCUGAUGAGGGUGGCCGGAGCUCCUUCUCUGGGGCUAGUCACCCUCCAGAGCCUAUUGAUAUGGAUAUUAUGAAGACAGUCUAUGUUGCAAUUGACGAGGAGAAGUCCGAGCCACCGGUGUGUUUAGUGCGGGGAGUGUCGAUGAAGGGGCCUUUCAUGGAUGACCUCUCGGUCCGUGUCACAGGCACAAAGGCAAAUCUGGUGGUAGGCGCCGGCACCGCCGAAGGUUUGGCUGAAGAGAGGAAGGUGUCUAGUUCUGCAGUGGCAUCACUGGCCACAGCGCGCUCAUCUCAGGCUACCUCUUUGCCUCAGGACUCGGAAGAGAAGGAGUGUGUCUGGGAUGCUUCACUCCCUCCCAGUGGCAAUGUCAGCCCUCACAGUAGCAUUGACAGCAUGGGUGUGGUCACUGCCAUGAGCACCCUUAACAGCUGUGCAAGCACUUAUAAAAGUGAAGCUGUAGCUAGUGAAGGAAUGCUUGCUGUGGAGAGAAACUUCGAAGGUGUAAAGAGUGUUCGAGGCGACUUACAAGAAAGUGCAAAAACUAGCAUGAGUCGAGCAAGUGAUAGCAGUGGUGUUAGUGAUGACAGCAGCUGGAGCCAUAUAACUGGAGGUGCCAGCAAGCCUCACAAGGGGAAUGAUCCUAGAUGGAAAGCAAUUCAUGCUGUACGAACUCGUGAUAGCGUGCUUGGAAUGAGCCAUUUUAGACUACUCAAGCGUCUUGGUUGUGGUGACAUUGGCAGUGUUUACCUCUCAGAAUUAAGUGGAACUCGGUGCUACUUUGCAAUGAAGGUAAUGGACAAGGCAUCCUUGGCAAGUAGGAAGAAGUUAAAUAGGGCUCAAACUGAAAGGGAAAUUCUACAGCUUCUGGACCACCCAUUCCUCCCAACCUUGUAUACACAUUUUGAGACCGACAGGUUCUCUUGUUUGGUGAUGGAAUUCUGUCCGGGUGGCGAUCUGCAUACUCUGCGACAGAGACAACCAGGGAAACAUUUCUCAGAGUAUGCUGCAAGGUAAUAUAUGUUAAGUAUGAUAUAUUCUUCAGAGAAAUAUAACUUGUUUGGAGUACAGUAGAUGAUUUCUCAUGUACGCCUUGUAUUACUGAAUGCCUAUUAUCAUAUUUUAUUCACAUUCACCUGCAGAAAGAAAAUUCUAUUCACAUUCACCUGUAGAAGGAAAAUAUUAUUCAUAUCCCAGGAUCUUCUUAAUCUAUUUUAGUAAUUUACUAGUAGCUUUACUGACAAAGUGGUUUAGUGUUACCAUCCUAGUCUUAUUGCGCUUUUUGGAGAAUCUAACUUUUCCCAGUUAUGCUCUCUCCAAAAUUCUCAAAUAGAGUCUAAUAGCUCUUGAGUGGUGUAGAGAACAAAGUGCACCUAGGAAGGUAUCCUUAAAUGUUUCCUGAAUUACUUUCAUGGACUAAAAAUUUGUACAGCAGGGCCCAUGUCAUGAGUAGCAUCAAUAGAGAUAUUAGGUCAUGCUAGAUUCUAGUUUUGUUACAUUUGUUUUACAAUUCAACAGUUGCCAGUUAUGUUGAGUAGCCUAUACCUUCUCGUAAUUGCAAGCACUAACAUGGAGUGCUCUGAUUCUUGGCAGGUUUUAUGCUGCGGAAGUACUUCUAGCCCUGGAGUAUCUACACAUGUUGGGUGUUGUGUACAGGGAUCUGAAACCAGAAAAUGUCCUUGUGCGUGAUGAUGGGCACAUAAUGCUUUCAGAUUUUGACCUCUCCCUAAGAUGUGCAGUCUCACCUACACUCAUCAGAACAUCAGCUUUUGAUUCUGAUCCCAGAAGAGCAGGUGGUUCUUUCUGUGUACAACCUGCUUGCAUGGAACCUACUUCAGCGUGUAUUCAGCCUGCAUGCUUCCUUCCCAAAUUCUUCGGACAGAAGAGCAAGAAAAAGACUAGAAAGACAAGGUCUGAGUUGGGACAGAAUGCUGGCACCCUGCCCGAGCUUGUUGCUGAACCAACGUCCGCUCGGUCAAUGUCAUUUGUCGGGACUCAUGAAUACUUGGCACCUGAAAUCAUCAAAGGCGAAGGCCACGGAAGUGCUGUUGACUGGUGGACCUUCGGCAUCUUCCUUCAUGAGCUGCUGUACGGUAAAACCCCAUUCAAGGGGUCAGGAAACCGUGCCACACUGUUUAACGUGGUUGGUCAGCAGCUGAAAUUCCCAGAGUCACCGUCCACAAGCUACGCUAGCAGAGACCUCAUCAGGGGUCUCCUGGUCAAGGAACCACAGAACCGCCUAGGAGUGAAGCGGGGAGCGACAGAGAUAAAGCAGCACCCCUUCUUCGAAGGCGUGAACUGGGCUCUCAUCCGGUGCAGCACUCCACCUGAGGUCCCAAGACCCGUUGAGGCCGAGCUGCCAGUGAAGUAUGGUGUGGCCGAGGCAAUCGGGAGCAACAGCAAGAGGAUAGUUGGCGCGGACGUGAAGUCGGGCGGAAAGUACCUGGACUUUGAGUUCUUUUAGAGUAGGUUCCCAGUGGCUGCUAUUGUUUGCUUACUGUUGGUGUAUGGUCAGCUUGAUGUUGUGUGAUUCGAUAUGGUGGUUUGUGUCUCACCAUCGGUGCAAAAUUAUCAGAUCUGAAUUGACCAGAAUUAGAUAGAUGUGUUUGCCUACUAAAGUCUCCACAUUUUACAUUUCUGUAGCGGUAGACAUUCUCUAAAGCCCUGAACUACUUGCUCACUGGUGCAUUGCAGUAAAAACUGAAACCAGUAGGGCGAAACGUUCUCGUGCUCAUACAGAUGCAGAAAUAUGCUGAAGCUGUUGAGAAAUGCUUCCUCUUUGCUGCUUGCUUAAUGCUUACUAUGCUAUAUGCCUAUAUUGCUAUGCACGCGUUGACCCUUGAUGAGUCCCGGCGAGUGUCCCAGAAAACGGUGCUGGGCCUGGCUUAUGCGUCCGCCGCCCGUGAGCUUGCCGGCCGGGUUGCGCUUGCUCCUGCCCGUGCCCCGUGACGGUGUGGUCAUUCGAGGCGCACACGGGCCGCUGGACCGGACCGCCGGUUCAUCAGGGAGGCGGUUCUGGCCUGCCUUGUGGCGGCGCCGGCAGGUAAUGCUGCCUCGCCCACCGGCCACCGAUUGCAUUUACGGAGCACAUCACACGCGAGUUGACGUGUUCUCCAACGGGCUUUGCCGAUCGGCUGAUGUCAGUCAUCCGCGACGGGCGGACGCUGGGUUGGUGGCUGCCGUCGUCUCUUCUUGGCUCCGCCUACGAAGUUUUUUUUUUGUGCAAAAUGAACGGGCGCAGCGGCGAAAGCAAGACACGAGCAGGUGCAUGCCACAGAUCGCCGCCGGCGACGUGGUAAACCGCGGUGGAAACAGACGCCAUGGAUGUGUCCUCUGGGCACGCGGCGCGUGUUCGGCACCAGAGAUCAGGACUGCCGAGCGACUGCGGCAUCUCCACAAGCGCAUCACCUCGUGUCGCGGUGUUAGCUGGCGCUCGUCGCUGGCCAAGCGAGGCCCUCCUCUCCUUCUCCUGAGCCGGCGGACCACCACGGCCUUCGCCCCCCUCCCGGCUUCCGCGCCUCGCGCCGGCGCCAACGAGGAAAAACGCUUCCCCUGCACUCAUCUAAUCUGAGCCGCAGAAAUCGGAUCGGACGGAUUUCGGGUACACCCGGGCGGCAUCUGAAAUACCGUCCACCCGCUCGGCAUCUGAAAUACCGUCCACCCUGGGGCGCCGCCCAGAGACGCCUCCCCCGCUUCAUGUCGUGCCUCACCGGAGCGCUGCCGCUGUCCCGCAGUCCCUUGCGCCCCGUGGCUCCCUUGCACUUCCCUCCUCUCGAAGACCUCGCGGCCUGCCCUCACGCGACAAGCACAGCACGAACGAUGGCGGCGCCGUCGGACGCGGCCAGGACGAUACGGAACGUCGGCGUGGUGUGAGCGUCCAAACCGUCGACGCGGGCAGGCAGUGCCGCCGCGCGCCACCGAGGCCACUGAUGGAAUGUAGCAGAUCACGUAGAAGUUGGAGCUUUUACCAACGUGCGUGUCGAGCGGCCGCCGGCGACGCCGGCUGGGAGUGCUACUCGCUUCCACCCCCACCGAUGUCACUGAUAUUGAUGGUGUAGCCUUCAACUCUCGGCGCCUGUCGCCGGAGACAAUGAAGGAACCCCUGGAACACCUGAGGACGCACGCGCACACGCGAGAACGCAAUGGACCCAGAGUUUUGGUGCCGCAACUAACUAGCUAGGUUUUUUCAAUUGAUUGAUAACAGAUUUAUGAAAGUGGCUAAACUGUGCCACGACGCUGCGAUUCUCACACCUCCACUUCGGCCGCGCCAUCCCACGACUCAAAGACCUGAUCAUCACCUCCACUACACCUAAAACCUGACCAAAACAAAGGAGAGCCAUUGCAUGAAUCCAUGCAGAGUGGCCUGUACCUUGACGCGCUCAAAGUGGCUAAGAAUGAGCUCCUUUAUUCUAACUAAGCCAUGCAAACCAACCGAGCCUGGAUUAUCCAACAGAUGGAGCCCAUCACGCGGAGUUGCAGCGUUCUACAACGGGCUUGUCCGGCGGUUGAAGUCAUCUGCGACGGGCGGAAUCGCGGAUGCUGGGCUGGUGGCUGCCGCCGUCUCUUCUUGGUCUUGGCUCCGCUGGUCAGCAAUAGACUCGCAGCGCGCGCAGCGAAAGUAAUAAACGAGCAGGUGCAGGCCAUGGAUCGUCGACGCCGGCGUACUAAACUGCGCUGGGAACAGACGCCAUGGAAGAGUCCUCCGCUGCAGACGCCGCGGGGUCGGCGCCGGAGACCAGGCCCGCCGAAUGCCGAGCGCGUGUGGCAUCUCCACAGGCACAUCCAUCACCUAGGGUCGCAUCGUUAGCUGGCGCUCUUCGCCGCCCACGUCAGUGACCCACCUCUGCUUCUCUUGAGCCAGCGGACCGCCACGGGUCCCCAGCAUCCCAAAGCGAUUUUACCGAACGCAUGUUCUCAGCACUGACUAUCUCAACCGUUCAUCCAGCCUCGUGCGUAAUCCGGCGUUCCUGUAUUCGGUCUGGAUUGGGUGUGUAUCCGGCGAUGGGAUGAGAGAUCGAUUAAAGGCUUAAGAUAAAAUGCAUUUCCAUUUGUUUGUUUUUGAGAUUUAUUAACAGGAAGGAGCUGGUGGAGAUCCUGUACGGCUAACUAUGACUGAGAGCGGCGAUGCUCGCGCGUCAGCCGUUGAAGAUAAAACUGGCGCGUCAGCAGUUGAAGAUAAGAAUACGCAGCAACCUAUGCCAUGGCAAUCUUGGUACACUGCAAGGUUCUUUCUUUCUGAAGUAGAGUUUAGUAGAUUUUGAAACAACCUAUUGGUAGACUGCAACUGCUGUUACUAUUGCUACUGCUACUGGUAGCAGUAAAGUGAAAUUUGAUUUUUGUACAGUUCACCUGAUGGGAGAGAAUCGAUGCUUGGUCUACUAGGAGCAGCAAGUGAUGAUUACAGUUUUUAUUCUAUAUUAGGCCAUCCAAUGCCCCGGCAACUUAUGGCUUCUGAAGGUUAAGAAAACUAAAUACUGCAGACUUUGUUAUACCAAAACCUAGUCUUACAAUAAUAACUCUUCCUCAGGCAACAAAGCAAUGGGGGAUGAAUGUUUUAAUGUAGGGCAGCUUACUUCUGCCCAGUCUGAGUUAGAUGCACUUGGGUCAGGUGAAACAGCUUUUUAUACAAACAAUUUUCUAACACAUAAAUUUUUUUGUUUGUAACAUUAUUUCAAGUUUCUACCAUUUGAUAUUUUUUUAUCAAAUCAGGGAGGUAUGGUUCUCUUCAAGGGUUGAUUCAGUCUUUUAAUUCAGCAAAGUUUGGUGCGUUAACUGAUGACAUAGAUGGGCUUAGUUCACUGCCUGGAGAUAAAAAUGGCUGCGACCCUACAACGUCGAGUGAGACUAAUAAUAAUUGAUUAGAGAAUAAAAAUGGUGCAUUCUUUUUAACUGCAGUCUUCCCAAUUCUUGCGCCACUGUGGUUGGUACUUGUUCUAAUGAAACAGAAGCAAAAAAAAAAACAACAGUGGCGGAGGCACCGUCAAAGGGAAUCACUAUAAGUGUUUUAUGAGUCAUUGUGCUUGACAAAUUUCAAUUCUCUUGCUAUGUAAUACCUGCAAUUCAUGUGUGUGGCAUUAUGAGUUUGCCUGUGCCUAUCUACUGUUCCAUAUAUGCAUGCAUACCGAAAGCAAUAUCAAGUAAAUUGGUGACAACAUAUCGCUAGUUAAGUCUAGUCUCAUUUACCUUAGUUGAAUUACUCACGAGUGCUUUGUGCCAUGGGCUUCAAAGCAUGUUCCUUGGUUUAAUAACUUGUCGUGUAUACUUGUAGGAGAACUUUUGGUUCAUGUUAACUAACAACUAACAAGCAGUAUGUAGAAUUUUGGUCUUAAUGAUUAUAUUGAUUAAUAUACAUCGUUUCAGCUUCUCACAGCUCUUGGUUCCUUUCCCAUUUUUACAUCAUUGCAGUUAUGUUGCUUAUAUAAAAAAUGUGUUUUUGGAGAAAAAAUAUUAAAAAAUGUGUCCUUUCUUGUGUAUUCCACUCUGAUGGUUCUUUUUUCAUACCUAUGAUGUGUUAGGUUUCGAGCAAUGGUGAUUAUAAAUCCGGGAAAUCCCACUGGCCAAUGCCUUAGAGAAGCAAAUAUAAAAGUAACUUCUGCAAUUUUGCUACCAUGAAAACUUGGCUCUGCUUGCAGAUGAAGUGUACCAGCAGAACAUUUAUCAAGAUGAGCGCCCGUUUGAAACAAGCAAGAAAGGUAUUUUGGAUUUCUGAAAAAUCAUGCUUUGUCAUGAACUCAUGGUUGCAACUUGACCCAAAACUACAGUUUUCAUCCGACAAUUCUCUAGUAUUUGGCGAGCCCACUAAAUCUUCCCUUAGCACCACAAACAAACAACUAUAUUAAGAGCUAGCACACACACGAUUCUCUUUCUACUGUGGUACACUAAAAGAUUGACGGUCAUUUCAAAAACUGUUGCCGACACAGCUUUUCUCAACUUUUUCCAGGUUUCGUUGACAUGGGUCCACUACUAAGCAGGGAAGUUCAGCUUGUUUCUUUCCACACUGUGUCCACAGGGUACUGGGGAGAGUGUGGACAAUGUGGUGGAUACUUUGAAAUGACAAAUCUUCCCCCAAAGGUAACAUGUCUCUGCAGCAUUUGUCAGAAUUUUUCAUUUAUCUCAAAUGUCCAGAAACAUGUUCCUAACUAUAUAAACUUAAUGAAUGUAUGAAGAUUGAAGAGUUGUAACUGAGAUAUUAGAAAAAUUAGAAAAUAUUGCAUUAUGCAUGCCCAGCUGCAAAUACAUUAGGAAAAUGCACAUCAUAAUUACUUGGCUAUGCUGCUGCCUUUUGACUUAUUUAAUUAUAGAUACUUUGCAGAAUGCAAUUUAGCCCAAUGGCCCAGAGUCUUCUUUGUCAAACUUUCAGAAACUGUAGAGCAAUCGAUAGCGUCCACUGAAGUUACAUAUUUAUGCCACCGUGAUGAACAUUUACAACUAUUAUCUCUGUGCAGUCUAAACUGUAGAGUAGUGUUGAACAAGCUCUGAAAACGUUUAAACAUGGACAGUUAAGAUUUUGACUUUAAACAAGCUAGGCGCUUAAAUAAGGCUUAUGCUAGAUUAUAUUGUACAAAAAGGCAAUUCGAAGGUUCGCUUCCUGAAUAUGAUGGUCAUGGUCCGAUGCUAACCGCUCUUCUGAUUUGAGCUUGCAGACAGUAGACGAGAUCUACAAGGUUGCAUCAAUAGCACUGAGUGGUGAGAAGUGGAUUUAAGCUACUUUGCUUUACCAAGUUAUAAAAUGGUUUUGAAUAACCCUGGCUUUUACAGAUGGGAGUGAUGGUUAACCCUCCGAAACCUGGUGACAUCUCAUAACUGAAGUUUGCUGGUGAUAUCUCUGCCAAAAUGAUUCAGAACAUGGGGAUAAGAAGAUGGUGACGGUGAACAAGUUCUGGGGAAAUAUCGAAAUUGGGGUGUAGUUUAAGCAAAAUCUAUGUUUUAUUAGACUUAUACAUCCUAUGUGAACUGUGUUGUUGGAGUAUAUAAUCAUCUGUUAGAAAAGCUCAAUAUGUUCUGUUGGAGUAUAUAAUCAUCUUGAAUAAAUGCAUGCUGUUUCUGAACCUUCCUCUGCAAAAGCAUUUGGUUGCAGUACGGCCUGGACAGCACCCCGUUCGGCGGCGUCGGGCACAGCGGGUUCGGGCAGUACCACAGCAAGUACUCGUUCGAGAUGUUCAGCCACAAGAAGGCGGUGCUCAAGAGGAGCUUCCUCAUCGAGUUCAUGUUCCGGUACCCGCUGUGGGACGAGAGCAAGAUCGGCAUGCUCGGGCGCGUCUACCGCUUUGACUACGUCUCGCUCUUCCUCGCGCUGAUCGGCCUCAGGAGAUGAAGAAAGAAACCCAGCCAGGGGAAGAGGUCGGUGGUGACUGAAUAACCGAGCAAACACAAAGUUGCCCUGCCGUUGCUGAUUCAAGUGCGUCAGCAGGAACGGUUACUUAUGGAUCCGUUUAUACUGGUUGAUUAUUGUGUAAAUGUGCCCUGUAUACGCCAAAGCCUAUACAUUAUCAGUUUAUAUGUGCCCUUCAGUUAUUUCACAAACAGAUUUCAUAAUGGAAUGUGCUUUCAGUUUGUGCUUUUCUCAUUGACAGCCGCCACGUUUGCCACUUUUACCCGGACCAACUCAUGGUGUUCCAAACAAGUUAAAGAGCAGAUAGCCAUAGUCCAUUUGCUUUCAGUUUGUGCUUUUCUCAUUGACAGCCGCCACGUUUUGCCACUUUUACCCGGACCAACUCAUGGUUAAAGAGCAGAUAGCCAUAGUCACUGGAAGUUUAGGAAUUUUCAUUGUCCUACCAGUGCUACUUAAAAUUUCCAUAAUGAAGGUAAACCAACAAAAUUUCAUUCAUAGAAAAGAGAAGGGGAAGUAGAAAAGAUUGUACAAUGUACACGUUAAGUGAUGUACUGAACUCCAAAAUGGAGGGUGCACGUUAAGUGCUAAUUUAUCUUGCAAAACAUCUAUUUCUACUUGGUGGUGAUGUACUGAAAUCCAAAAUGGAGGGUGCAUGUUAAGUGCUAAUUUAUCUUGCAAAACGUCCAUCUCAAAAACAAUUUGCACCGACACCAGCAUUGCCACUUGCGUUUGGCAUGGUCCAGUACAACAAUGCCACUUGAAUUACCAACUGCGUUGGAGCUAGGCUAAAUAAGCAAUGAUCAAGACAACACUGCCACUUGAAUUGCAUAUUACAUUAUUGGAGCUAGACUAAAUAAGCAAAGAUCAACGAGUACAAAACAAAAAGGUAUAAUUAAACCUAGAGAACACCAACUUCAUGAAUAGCAACACAAAACGCAAAGAACAAAAGUAAAAAAAAAACCUGCAAAUCCCUAAACCACUGGAAGGUCUGACAGCAUAGCCUUGGUGGAUUGACCUUCUGUCGCUGAAAUCAGAUAGCUUAAGUAACUUUUGUUGCUGGGAUAUAAGUGGUGUGCAAGUAACUUGAGUUUUGAGAACUUAACGAACUUUGUGGCAUGCAGGUAAAUAACAACUCAAUAAUAAAUGACAGUAGUUAUUACAUGAAAACACUAACUUGGAAUUGAAAAAUGGCUCACUCAUGCUACUAAUGUUUUCAGUAAAUUUCUACAUUCCAAUCUGAACAUCUCGAUUCAUUAUUCUUGAUGCUUUGGAAUUAUGUGUAUUGUCUUCUCCUGUUGAAAUUGGAGUUCAUUUUCAGCACUACAUAUCUCAAUAAAAAAUCUAGAGAAAAAGUUCUGUAUAAAAGGUCAUGAACAAAUAAUGAUGAUUUGUCUAUCUAACUAAGUAGGCUAGUAAAACAAAAUUAUUCUAACCAAGUAUUUUGAGAAAGGGGAAACAUAGUGCUUCAGUGCUAAUUUUGGAAUUUCUGAUCAAUAUGUGUGAGAUAAAGUUUGAUGACGAAAUAAGGCGCAUCUCUGUUUGUAACUAGAAAAUUUCGAAGACCAGUAAAAAUCACAAAAGCGGAAAUAUAGGUUCACAGGCACAACAAAAAUUAGUUCGAACAACGAAAUGAGUAAGAUAGAAAAGGACAAUUGUCUAGUAACCCAAUUACAGCAAUUUUGGGCUUACACAACCCAAUUACAGCUAAUCUGGGCUUACAAAGUCACCAAAAUAAGUGUCAGAAACAGGACCAUAGUCUUUUCGCUGUUUAUGACUCAGGAGUCUAGAAGACUACCAUUAAAAUGGAUUAAAACUAGUCAUCGAUAGUCUGAACAUAAACGGAAGGUGGGGUUCCUCUGUUAUCUUUCAGACCAAACAGUUCAUAAAGCAAAUAGUGCUUGAACCUGAUAAGAAUUGCCUGAAAAAAGAUUUAAAACAUAGAGUUAAAGUUGGAAAUAUAGAACUUUUUAUGGUAAUCAAAUCAAAACAGAGGUAGAUGACCAUGUGCUAACGUCGGUAACAUGGAUGAUUGGGUGACCACUGAAGUUUUUGAUGCAGUAGAAAGUAAAAAAACCUGUGUCAGGACUACAAAACAGUAGGACAUGUGUCAGGACUACAAAACAGUAAUACAUAAGUGUGAUUGAAGUAGUUGGUGCAGGUAAUGCUUUGGGAAUCAAAUUAUACAUAUGGCAUGAAAAUGAUGGAAUUGAAACAACAACUUCCUCAAAAUCAUUGAUGCGGUCUCCCACCGGAAAACAGGCAGCUAAUAGUAGACUUAUGCAUCGAGCAAAAGUUUAAUAGUACCACGGUGUGCCAUCAACACUGAAGAUUCCUCCUUGCUGCUUGAUGAUGGAUCAAUUAUGUAUACAGAAUGCUCUCUUAAAUCAAAAGCAUAACACCACCAUGACCCACGAGAAUGGAUAGGUACAAAAAUCUAGAUUUUGAUAGAAGAAAUAGUAUAUAUAAAUGAGGAAUAAAGGCUAGAUUAUGAAUCGGAAUAAAGGCUAGAUUAUGACGAAAAUGAGGACAAUUAAAAGUACACAUACCGGGCAAGUAAGAAAUCGACGACUAGGAUUACAGCUAGUACCGGAUCUACGGAUAAAAGCAUCUCUUCUGCAGCCACACUGAAGAACAAGAAGAUGUGUAGGGUCGCACAUUUCCGAGAGGUGGGGGAGCGCUGCACACGUCCAUAGAGCAGAAUGGACGGUGUGCAUAACCGCGUUGCAUCUGAGGAGGAAGAAUUGAAGGAUCUUCUAACAAUUCAUCCGAUCUGAACUGUCGAAGUCGGAUUAAACUUAUCUCGAGUACUAAGGGGCGGACGGUAUUUCAAAUAACGUGCCCGGGCGCAAAGAAAAGCCUCCGCCGCUUCCUGUGGUACCUUGCCGGAUUGCAGCCGCUGUCCGGCAGUCCCUUGCGCCCCGUGGCUCUCUUCCUCUUUCUCUCGAAGGCCACGCGGCCUGCCCUCUCGCGAAAAGCACGGCACGGAUGAUGGCGGUGCCGUCGGACGCGGCGAGGACGAUAUGGAACGUCGGCGUGGCCUGAGCGACCGAGCCAUCGACGCGGGUAGGCAGUGCCGCCGCGCGGCACCGAGUCCACUGACGGAAUUGACUGGAUCACGCAGAAGUUGCAGUUUUUACCAACGUACGUGCCGAGCGGCCGCCGGCCGGUCUAUGGCGGCUGCCAGCGGCUCCCGGCUUGGCUCCACAAACUCGUCUUGUCAGUUGUCAACCUAGAAAUUUACGAUAACGCUGAGAUCGGAAACAUCAGCCGCCUUGAUUUUUUUAGAGGGAAUAGUUUCAUUCCAUUAAACCAUGGACACAGCGAGAUCACUGGCCAACAAAACCUCUAUGCCGUCCGGCUGAUCCUCCCAGAAUUGGUUGGAACCCGCGGGGCACUUGCAACCAUAACCAGCUAAAGCGUGAGCUACUUGAUUACAAAUUCUAUAACAAUGGUUACACGAGAAGGAAGUAAAACAAGAAGCAGCCGUUUCUUUGAUUUCGUGGAUCAAUCUUCCCACUGCUGAGAGCCUGAAGCUGUCAUUCGCGAGUGCAAAUUUUAUCAGAAGUGCAUCUGUCUCCAGAAUAAUCCUCAUAGCAUGUUAGAUUUAACUGUACUUUUACAAAAAAAAUCGCUUUUGAAUCCUCAUAGCAUGUUAGAUUUCGCAUUUGAACUUGCUCCUCCAAUUCAUCUGAUCUGAGCCGCAGGACUCGGAUCGGACGGCUCUCGGGUAUCCAAAGGUACCGUCCACCCGGUCGGUAUCUGAAACAAUGUCCACCCUGGGGCCCCAAGAAACGCCGCCCUUGCUUCGUGUCGCGCGUCGCCGGAGCGCCACCGCCGCCCGACCGUCCCGCCGCCGCCUCGCGUGCGUGCAUAUCGACUAAGUGCCACUGCCACGUAUCUGUGCCUGUCGAGGAGGUAGGUGACAGAAUGGUGAGAACUGGACUAGCUGCAGAGAUAGAAGACGCAUGGCGAGAGCGAAACGAUGGCUCUUGUGUCCGCCGCCGUUGCGCGUGCUCCGUGUGCGUUCAGGUGCACGCCUGCACGGUGAGGACUGGACGCCACCUGGGCAGGCCGUUCAGUGAGUGAGAGUGAGCGGCCCACCCGCCGCCGAUGGCGUCGGCAGAGGGCAGGCAGUGCCGCCACGCCCGCACCGAGCACGGAUGUCAUUUGAUGCGAUGAAGCUGCAUAGCCGAUCAAGCAGAACGGAGUAAGUUCAGUAUCGUCGGGCUGGCUUGCAGAGCGGCCGCUGGCGCGGUGAGCUAACUCGUGCCGGAGUUAUUGAGGACGCUGGGCUUUGGAAAUGUCGUCGGCCGUCGGUCAUCUUGACGGCGGGCCGUGAUUUGGGCGUUCUGAAAGGAUACAUUAUCUGCAGAAAUACAGUUAUCUGCAGAACUACAUGCGGGAGGAGAUACAUGUUUGUUCAGAACUUCAGAUAGCACGUAGUUCCCCUAAAAUUUCACACUUCAGCCUUUUUUUUCCGCCCUACAUCUUCAUAGCGUGGCAACUUUCACAUUUGAACUAGCAAUGAAAGAUUUCCCGCUGGAGCAUGUGUUGAUCUUGAUGGCUUUCCCAAAUUUGUUGUCUCUUUGUUUGGCCUUGGACCCAAAUUACGUGAUUCGAGAUUAAUCCUUUCAGAAAAGAGACUAAUGUGCUGUACGCAUCCCAGAUGGAAGGAAAAUACAGGUUAUCUGGCAUAUUGGUUUACAGACAUAGUAAGCUCUGUUUGGCAUGCUACAAACUUGAGUUGGGCCUUGGCGUUGGGUAACCGAAGUUUAGAGUAGUCAAUUUUUAUUUUGUGCAAUUUGGUGAAAAUUAACAAACGCAGCGGCGAAAGCGGGGAAAACCCCCCAAGCCCCAACAAAGACGCCGACUCGCCGCACAGCAGAAACACAGAACCGCAGGUUCGCAGCCUGAACAAAGCGCCGCCUCUGCCUUCCCUUCCUCCGGCGCGCCAGCUGCCAUGGUGAAGCGGUGGCUCCCCCUCGAGGCCAACCCUGACGUCAUGAACCAGGUACUCCACCUCAUCCUCCCUUCCGGUACCCGUGGUUGGUUCCGCUUCCGCCUCGGUCUUUCCUCGCUCACGGCGGCGCCCUGCCCCUUCACGAUCGGCGCAGUUCAUGUGGGGACUGGGGGUCCCCGAGGACGUGGGGUUCUGCGACGUGUACGGCCUCGACGGCGAGAUGCUCGCCAUGGUGCCCCAGCCUGUGCUCGCCGUCAUCUUGCUCUACCCCCAGGUGGAUCCCCUGUCCCUAGUUGGCCCUGCGCUACCUGAGGUUGCUUGAAUCUUCUGCGCGGAGGAGCUUAUUAAUCUGACGUUUUGGUGGGCAGGACCGGAUCAAGGAAUCCCAGUCUUCGACUGCCUCACCGGUGGAGACCAAGGUGAGCCUGAAUUGGAUGAUGGUUCAGUAUUUUUUUUUUUUGAACUGACAAUUGUUCAGUAGUUGGAUUCCAUUGAAGAUGCCCAACGCCUUUAUUGAUCCGAUGCAGGGACACUGGCAAAACUAUUUUUCUUUUUUUGUAGGACAAAAAAACUAUUUUUCUAACUUGUAUAUUGAAAUUUGUUGUGUGAUUUUGCUAUUUAUAUUGUAGGUGGACACCAAUCAGAAUAGUUUUAUUGUCUGUACAUACUGUUGUCAUAUACUUUAGAUUACUUAUCAAACUUAUAUUAUGAAUGGUAAUAUUAUUGAAAUGUAAGCAUGCUCAGGUUUGUUUUGAUGAACCUAACUUGCUUUUUUUCUCUUAAAUAAAAAUCUGGCAGUUUUAUCUUUCUCGGGUGGUUUUGAUAUACAUCAGUAGCUUGAAGUUUCAAUAGAUUUGAGGUUUACAGAGUUAGAAGUAUCAAUUGGUAGCCAAAUUAGCUCAUCGAUGAUGCACUCUUAGCGCAUAAAUCUAAGGUUUCAGCUUCAUCAAAUACUUGAAUCUGUGUGUGAGAUAAUUGGUAGCCAAAUUAGCUCAUCGAUGAUGCACUCUUAGCGCAUAAAUCUAAGGUUUCAGUUUCAUCAAAUACUUGAAUCUGUGUGUGAGAUAAAGGUGGGUUUUACGAGCUCAAGAGUAUAGUUAUGCUUUUUUCCUCAUUAGUCCUAAAAGGCUAAAAAAAUGAAGCAGGAGCCGAGUAAGAAGGUAUAUUUCACAAGGCAGACGAUUGGAAACGCCUGUGGAACAGUUGGUAUUAUUCAUGCACUAGGGAAUGCUGCUUCCAAAAUCAAGCUAGGUAUUCCUUUUUCCUUCCAGGAGUUUUGAGCUCUUUUUCGUUUUCAUCUACAUGUUUUGGAUAAUCAUCUAAUAUGGGAGAGGUUAUCUGGUGAAACUCCAAACGAUUGUGAAAAGUGAAAACUAAUUGCCACAAGUAAUCCCACAUACUUGGCUUAAUCAUGUAAAAUUAUUAGUCUAGCUGCAAAGGACAUAUCAAUGUUCAGGUCAAUUUCCUUGUCGGUGUUACAAUCCAUUUGGUCGCCGACAGGCAACAGUAAUUGCUUAUAAAAAAAAGGCAAUAGUAAUUUGCAAUGCUCUAAAAAACAAACAGUAAUGUUCAAUUCUGCAUGAUCCUUAAGACCAUGCGAUCCUUCAAAAGCAACCAUUUUACUGUAGCUACCUUUCACUUUUAGUGAGAUCUGAUCAGACUUUGUUUGCAGGUGAGGGGUCAUGUUUUGAUAGAUUUUAUAAACAAACUGCUGAUAUGGAUCCAGUCCAGGUUAGUGUCGUGUGUUACAAUUCAAAGGCUUCCAUGAAGAGGGAUUGCCUCUGUGUUCAACUAACAUAUUGGAUGCUUCAUAAUUUCAGCGUGCUGCAUUUCUCGAGGAGGACCAAGAAAUGGAGGAUGCUCAUUCUGCUGCUGUUUCUGCUGGUGACACAGAGGUAAUAGCAUCUGCCUAGUACAUGAAUAUUUGCCCAAGAUGUAUGGGUGUUGCUCCGUUGUUAGUUACUCGUGCCAUUGCUUCUUUUUUUCCUUAUUGCCAGUGCUUCUUAAAAUCAAAAUGGUUCCCAGUUAUCAGCGACCAUCUUGGAACUAACUGCUAACACCAUUUUGCUCAUCUUAAAAAAAAAACAGUUCGCUUACCAUCAAGAGUUACAGAUUUGCAGCCAGAUUUUCUGACCAUGGGCUCACAUGCCAUGUUUUCCUUGCCAUCGUGUGAUUGCAUUUGUCAUUCAGAAUAUCUGCAUUCUGUGUCAUUGUGAGUGACAAUUGAGUAUUUUUCGUUCAUUCACAGUAUCAUCUAAAGGGUUGUUAUUAAAGAACUGAGAAUCACAAUUAUUUAAAACUGUGGUGGAAGAUACACUUAUACAAUAUAGGCUCCUCAGCCUUGAGCUUGUUUCAUCUUUGGUUGCCAUCUGACAGAUCUUAUUUUACUGUGCAGGCCAAGGAUGGAGUAAUUGAACAUUAUAUUUGUUUCUCUUGUGUCGAUGGUAUGUAACACACAAUCGCCUACCAAGACACCGUAGUUGGAUUUAUAGAAAAUAUCCAACCAUUAGUCUGUUGAUCACUUCUCACAACCCUUUCUUUAUCCAGGAGACCUUUAUGAGCUUGACGGAGGUAACUCGCGGCCAAUAUCCCAUGGCCCCUCGUCCCCUGAUACCUUGUUGCAGGUAAGCUGAUGCACUCAUGCUAUUUCUUUCAUCAGCCACAGCCCACAUUAUGUUCCCGGCUUGUGAUUUUGGACAUCUUUCUGUGCAGGAUGCUGCAAAAGUCAUAAAAGGAAGACUUGCACUGUAUUCUGAGUCGAACAACUUCAAUGUCAUGGCUCUUUCAGGCAGGUGAUAAUGAAUACAUAUAGCUCGAGAUAUCAACCCGUAAAGGUUCUCGUUUGCUGCAGCCUCAGUUGAGACAUAGAAGCAGAAUUUAAAAUAUUCUUCUCCCGCCUUUGUUUUAAUAUUCAAACACGGGGAAAACGAAAUAAAACGGUGAGAGCAAGUUGUCUAUGCAGAACUCGUUGGUGCCCUCACUUUGUGUCCGUACAUAGAAGAUUCAGAUUCAGAGAACGGCAUUUUUCUGGUGAAGAAAUGCAUGGUACUAACGGAGGUUGGCAGCUUGAUGGCAGUCUCAUGCAUGUCGCAUGCGGCAGGCGCUUUUGUAGCGGUGGCGGAAGCUGAUGGUUGGACGAGUUGCGCGCGGACUGACCUCCAUAGUCCAUCCUCCUCCCCCACCUGCCGAUGGCAAAGCGGCGAGGCACGGGGUCUCUGCUGUUUGCCAUUGAGCUUUGGGGGCGGCAGGAGAUCGAGGCGUUGCCGGCACGGGGCCGAGCUCGCCUUCCCGAGAACGAAUUUCAGAGGGACGGCUGCCGAACACCAGCACGCCAGCACCCGCAGGGGACAAACACAUUAUAGACAUAUAUUCCCAGCUGUGCUGGCCAUAGCUUCGCCACGUUGUUCGUCUCUCCCAUCGAGCUGCAUACGUGUCCGGCGACUGGGGAGCUGAUGUUCAUCCAAAUUUCCAAUCAGGCUACUCGUCCGAACCCGGCACAGCCUGCACUGCGGGCAAGUCUGGUUCACCGCUCACCGCGGUGGGCGCGUCAGGGGCUCGUCGCCAUCCGGCCAAGAUACCUUUCCCAUUCCCGGAUAGCCCUAUUUCCCCUCUGCAUGCUUUGUCGUCUGGGUUGGAAAAUAGACGACCUUACAUAAGACGACGCUCGCAUGACCUGAAUGCAUGGCCAACAAGCCAUGGCAUCCAAAGUAGACAUCCAAAUACGAAUAGCAUUGCAGAUUGAAACUCUUAGCGAAUCCUGAACACUGCGUUUUUAUUUAUUCCUCAUUAUAAACAUGACAUCCACCAUGCAGUACAUCCGAUCCGCCACUCCGAUCAAGAAACGCACUUACUACACAGCAAGCACCCGGACACAUGCACAUACAAAGCACAACAUAUCAUAACGACUAGCCAGCUAGCGCGGCGACCCCAGACGCUACGGCGGCUGCCGUAGGCCCAUGCCGCGGCGCGGCGCGGCGGUCGUGCGCUGCCGCCUUCGCCCCGCACCGGACACGCAUGACACGCGCGAUCCGCUUGCAUAUUAUGCUUUUCAAGACCCCUGGGCCUGGUCGAUGCGCUGCUGCGCCGCAUCCUUGAUGUCGCGGGCCUUGGACGCCAGCCGCGCCUUGGCGUGGUCCAGCUGGUCGGCGCCCGGCGGGUGCUUGCCCGUCAGGUACUUGUACAUCCACGAGAACACGGACAGCGCGGCCACGCCGAGGCCGCCGGAGGUCACGAACCCGGCCGCCAUGAGCGCCAGCGCGAUGGCCGCCGGCACCAGCACCGGGCUGAAGAUCACCAGCACCGGGGUCGCCACGGUGAGCGCGAUCACGGUGCCGGCCAGGAUCAGCCCGGACAGCACCAGCAUCGACCCGCCGGCGGUCGCGGCCGUCGCCGCCUUCAGGGCCGUCAUCAUGGCGCCCUGCCUCUGCUGCGUCUCGCCGACGCCGCGGUGCAGGUCGCCGUAGCCCCCGCCGCCAACCCCCAUCCCGCCCCGGUGCUGAUCGGCCAUGGCAGGCAAGCAGAGCAAGAUAGCUACCGCGCGCGCAAGAUGCCCAAGAGCGCUACUGCCACUACUGGUACUACGAAUGAGAUGGACGAGGGCAUGAGGGAGCUGGGUUUAUAGCAGGAGGGGCGCGCGUGGGGAUGCGCGGGGGGGCGAGCGCGCGCGGCCGCGUGGGACGCAUGCGGGGCUCGUGUCGGGCGCCGCGCGACACCUGGGGUGGUGUCGCGGCACUCGCCAUCUCGGCCAUUUCCUGAGGCGAUACGUACGAGGUUCUGCGGACGCCGUGCCCAUCGUUGGAUCGGCCGCUCGACGCCGGUGGCGGUGGACUAGGUGGAGGCCGCAUCUGGCGUGGGCCGCGCUUCCACGGGCCGUGGUGAUUUGAGCCUUCCUUCUCCUCCGUAUAUAGGUGGGGCUGGGCUAGUCUUUGCUAGAGACUGUCGACUGACGUGGCAGGCCGGCAGUUCAUUCAACAGCGAUCUGCGUGCCCGUUGGCCCAUUCACCUCAAACCCAAAAAAGUCGUAUAAAAUUCAUUCCCAUUUCCUACCAUAAAUGGAAUGUUUGGUAUGGUUUCCGCUAAAAAUAACAAAUGUUUGGUAUGGGCUGAUUGCCUGAUUCUGAUGCUGGCGUGGAAAGUCAGAAGACCUUGGAAAUUGAAAAGUUGUGACUAGGAUUCUAGGCAAAAGUUGGACAUGAAUCAACGGCUCGCUUUGAAGCCGUUCAAACAAUGCCGUGGCCACAUUAGGUCCGUCACCUAGGCUAGUUUAGUCAGCAAGCUUACUUUCUCGGAUGGAAUCAUAGAAGCUACUCGCAGCAUCAAGCUUUUGCCGGUCCCCUAAUUACAGCACUCUCCCUUGUCCCUCCCCAUUCUAUACCCCAACUAGCCCACUUUGCCACGCUGCUCAAAUUGGCCAGCCUGAUUUCGGCUGCGAGCAAUUUGAGCCAAGUUUGUUCUUCGGUGGCUCGAAACUCUUCUUGUAGAGGGCAAGUUGGUCGCCAAUUGGCCGCUGUCCAAGUCCAACCUUCCUUUACGCAACGCCAACGCAUUGUCACUGCAACCAAAAUUUGAGGCACAACCUUUCCCACUUCAAAGCUCAAUCCAAGCGUGCCUUUGCCCCUUCCUUUCCCUUUUCACUACUCCUUUUUGCUAAUAAUAAAAAUACUUGCAGAGCACAUCAUUCCUCGUGGGGCCACUAUUCCCAAAACAGUGGCCUACUUUUGCCCAUGACCUGUGCUGAAUCAGGCGCCAUACACAUCGGCCGGCGGCAAGUAGAGGAUAAUCAUAUACCCGCUUUCUCCUUUCGAUCCCACCUUUCCACCAAGAAUACCGAACAAGUUGGAAACCCAUCCCAUAUACUAGUAUUCUACUAUAUUACUAUGCACACUCCGGCCGAUGGCCCCCAGCUUCCAGCUGUUGCGCAACACGACGACACUGUGCUGGUCGCUGCCUGGGAUCAGUGGCGGCAGUCGUAACCCAAUCUAAUCCUCAUGGUCAGUGUGACGAUCAACUGACGGACCGGACGCAUGCUCAUCGCUAUCGCGGCGAUGAAUCUUUUACGUGGCGGAUAGGCACGGGGGCGUCUCGAGAUUUUUAUGGUUCGUUAGGAGUAAAGACGGAGGGCUCCCGCUUCUUUCGCUGCUUGCGUGCUGCGUCUUCUACCUCUCGUCCUCUCCAGCACGAUGGCGACGCUGACGCCCUCGCGCCACGGCCCCCCUCGCCCACUUGCUUGCCCCCCACCGAGCUAUCGCCGCUGCAUGAUCUUUUCCUAAUGUUUUAGGAGAAGGAUUAGUUAAAUCCUGCUGCCGUGAGCAAGCCUGCUGCUACGUGAGAACCCGGCCCUGGAAUUCCCGUUUCAUUCAGCCGGCAGAUUUGGAUUUGGAUUUGGGUUUCGGGUCAUGAGUUUCUGGUCACUGUUCAGUUGACUUGCGCUCCUGUUUAGCCGCUUGAUAUUUAUCAGACGAUGCCGCACUCAUUGGGUGCUGACGAAGACCAAAGCGGAUUGUACUAUUUUUUUGUACAUUUUUUGAAAAUCCUAUCAGAAGCACAAGCACUCUGACAAUGACGCGAACACCGAACGGAAUAACAUUGGGGGCCCAAAAUUCGCAGACAAGACACUUGAUUACACACGGCUUCUUCCACUUGGGCGAGUUGCACGGCGCAACAGCACCAUCCAGAGCUCGUCCGGACCCCCAAUUGCGAGUCGCCCCGCCAAGUUGCCCCCGAUCUUAUCGCGUUCCAUCCGGCGGAGCUUUCACCGGGAUGCGCGCCCCGCCCCCCGCCGUCGCAUUCGCGUC